CCUCGUGCUUCUUCUUCUUCUCCUUCUUUUUCUUCUUCUCUUCACCGUGGGCGGCGCCCUCGCCGCCGCCGACACCGGGGAUCUUCUGCUUGAUCUUGUCCACCAAGCCCUCCUUGUGUUCGCCCUCCUUGUGUUCCCCGCCGUGAUGCUGCUGCUGAUGGUGAACAUCAGUAGUGCCGACACCGGGGAUCUGCUGCUUGAUCUUGUCCACCAAGCCCUCCUUGUGUUCGCCGCCGUGAUACUGCUGCUGAUGGUGGACAUCAGUAGUGUGGUGGUCCCCACUAUGGUGCUCUCCCUUGUGCUUGUCCUCCUCCUUUUGCCCUCCUCCCAUGUGAAGGGCUUCUCCGAUCUUGUGAAUAACUCCUGACAUUUUCCCUUAAAAUGACUCUGUUCCUCUUCUUUUCUUUUCAAUGAAAAAUAGUUGUUUGCGAUCUUCUUCUGGUUGUUGUUGUUCUUGUUGGGUGAUCUUGGCUUGGUAUUUAUAGGCUCCAAAAGGAGGGACUAGAAUUAGGAUUAGAUUAUAGAUUAUUUUAAUACAUUUUAUGGCAAAUUCUGAUUUGGAAAGAUAAGAUUAUCCUUUUGGUUUUCCUUAUUUACCCUUUUGCACCCAUUACGUGUACGCGUCUUCGUGGGCUUUUUGGGUAUUUCAAUUAUAUCGCCAAUGCUAAAUCGACACGUUGCAUAUCAGCCGCGGUACUGCCGUAUGUAGUUGUCCAGAAAUCGAGUCGAUUCUCGAUCGUACAAUAAUUAAAUAAUAUUUCAUACGAAAUGAGUUUAGAUAUAUUUUGAAAAUUUAUUUUUAAUUUAAUUAUACGUGUUAUAUAUUUGUUAAUCGAAUAGAGGUCCCACGUAACAGAGUGUUUCUCUAAUCUUUCAUUGCUUUUAAUUAAUUUUACCCAAAUAAAAAAAAAAAGGAAAAUUUAGAGAGAGAGAGAGAGAUAGCGAAUUAGAAGUUGAUUGUAAUAUCGACACCUGUCAGACAAUCAAAUAUCGUUAGUUAAAAAUCAGUUGUCCAUAGUCAUGGUCAUAGAUGGCGAAAUUGAUACUUAUUUUAAAAAACAAAACAAAACAAAACGAAACGAAACUAAACUAACAGAUGUUGAAAUGCAGUUCCGUGUUAACAGUCUGUGAUGAAUCUUUAUCUUUGAGUAUACCAUUCAAGAAAUUAUCAUUCAAAAAUUUAUUUAAAGCAGCAGCAAAUCACCUUCUAAUUCCUGAAUCAAAUUAAUUCGAUUUUUUUCGAGUCGAUCAAUUCAUUAGAGAAUUAACGGGCUAAGUUAAAGUUUUGUUAGUUAUUUUUUUUUAUAUUCCUUUAGAUGAUAUGAUUGUCAUUGUCUUUCUUUCUCUGGGCAACAAUAAAUACAAGAUGUGCAAAAGCGUAGUGGAACAUAAUUCGAUUAUGGGUAAAGGGAUCAGUCCGCAUAAUGAGGAUAAAGUUUUUCUCUUUAAAAAAAUUUAACCCAAAGAAAAGGUCGUAGUUUGUAAUAGCCGACACGCAGAUAGAUCACAAAGCAUGGCGGUCCUGAUGGCAAUAACUAACUGAUAUCUUCUGCGAUGAGAGGAGAUCACGUGGUUCUGACACGUAUCGCCCCAUCAACUGAUGUUGUGGCUGCAAUCGCGGCCCAGUCUUUAGAGAGAAGAAAGAUCUGUUAUAACGGGACCUACUUUAGCAUCUAUUUACGACAAAGCCCCUAUUUACUCUACUUAGUAGUAAUAAUAGCAAGUGUCGGGCUUGGAUUCCGUGUUGCUUUAAAUAAAUAUCCGCGUAAAAAGAAAAUGCUUCUUUAAUCCCUUCCUUGUAAUUUUUCGACACGUGGAUGGUUGAAAUUAGCGUGCCGACAUCUUAGGAAUUUUAUCUUGGAGACGGGAACACUGCAGUAGGCAAUGCCAUUUUCUUCGGAUGGUGUGUGGUGACAACGCCUUGGAUUUUGACGUGCAAAGAAUUUAAAUUGAAAAAGAAAAAAAGAAAUUACCAGAAUAAGCAUAGAAGAGAUAUUUUUCUUUUUGUCCUUUUUGGAAUGGAAAAAGAGAUCAAGAGAUUGUUCCAGUAAGUAUUACACAUGUCACAGGCUUAUUCAUGCCCCAUUAUGGCAACUUUUAUGCCUCGCGGUGCCCUCGGUUCCAGCAUAAUAGCUAAGACUUCAAUUUUUCUAACAUAUUUUUGUUACAAAUAUGAACGGAGUAAAUGUAUAACUUUAAUCCUUUGAAUAAAGAAAUGGCGGUUCUCCUGCUCGUUAAUCUCACUUGAAUCCCACCCAGGCAAAAUUUCUUUAUUUUAUUUAACAACAAUUUAAAGAAAGAAACUUUUGCCAGGUUGAAUUUCAAGUGAGAUUCAUUCGUGGGAGAAGUGCCAUUUCUUUAUUCAAAAGAUUAUGGUAAUUACAACUUUCAAUUUCGACAUAAAUUAAAAUUAUAGGCUAUACAAUAAAAUUGCCCUAAAUUAGUCCUAAUCAAUUCAGAUUAUAAAUUUAGGUAUAUUUAUUAUUUUAAUAUAUUAAUGUUCUAUAUAUAUAUAUAUAUAUAUAUAUAUAUGUGUGUGUGUGUGUGUAUNNNNNNNNNNNNNNNNNNNNNNNNNNNNNNNNNNNNNNNNNNNNNNNNNNNNNNNNNNNNNNNNNNNNNNNNNNNNNNNNNNNNNNNNNNNNNNNNNNNNNNNNNNNNACAGCAGAAAAUAUUUGCUAUGGAUAAGGAGACAUGGUCCCACGUCCCACCGUCCCAAUGCAUAUUUUGUAUGUUUCCAUCUUUUCUGAAAUUUUAAUAAAUAAAGUUUUUUGACCACUUGGCCAAAGAACCUUACCCUUACACAACUUUGUGGUUGGAGUCCUGUGAUACAUGUAAGAACUUAUUUUUUUUCUUAAUUAUAAUAUUUUAGAAUAUAAUUAAGUGAAGUAGGUUUUUUUUUUAAAUAUGAGUAAAAUAGAUAUUUUUUAAAUAUUAAAGAGAGUAAAAUUUGAAUAAUAAUAUAUUAAAAUUAAUACAAACUAAUUUUAAUAAUUAUUUAAUUAUAAAUAUCAAUUAUAACAUCAUAUAAUAUCAAUUAUAAUAUCGUACAUCUCAAUUAAUUCAAUAAUAAUAAUAAUAAAUGUUUUUUGGGAUAAGUAAACAGUCGCAUGGCGACAAUAGUGGAUCUGGAUUAGAGUGAAGUGGUCCCAAGAGGCUGAGGCUGUGGCUGUGGAGUUCUAAAAGUCAAAAGCUCCACGCACUUUGUUUCAGUACCAUACACACUGAAAAAAUUUGCAUUUGCAAUGACGAAAACUUUUCACGAAAUCAAAACACCUCUAAACUAUUUUGUUAUCGAUAUUUAAUGGAGGGGUUUCCUACCUUUUUAACACUCGAUUCACGCCUUGACGCAUCUCACAGAAAACCUCAUGAUCCCAUUAAUCUUGCGUAACAUAUCUCAAAGCCAAUGCAAGUGAUCUUGUUGCCUACUUCCCUUUGACGAUUCAAAAUUGUUGAAAAUAAUUCUUUUUUUUUUUAACCUCAAGGAAGUGACAAAAUAUAAAAGAAUAUUUUCUACACAUUAAACAUCUAGAUUUUUUUUUCUUUUCUUUUUAGAGUACUUGCACAAACCGUUUCCAAGAGAGACCUUUUUUUUUUUUUUUUUUUUCCGGGCUUGGUUACUAAUUUGGUGUGAAUACUCUAUGGUGAAAAAGGAAUCACAAAGCUGUAAUCAAUUUUUUUGCAUCAUUUAGUUGUAACUUGAACAUUGGGAGGUUUAUAAAGAAUUAAAUUAAUUAUAAUGCCUCUACUAGGAAAAGUUCAGAGUAGCCCUUCACAACUUUUUAAAGGCUUAAUAAUUUUCGCUUUCUUCCUCUCAUAACAUAACAAAAAAUUAAGAGCUUUACUCGUACACGUCCUAUGGCUAUAUAGUAUUGGGUUCUCUACUUCAAUCGGCUAUCUCAAACCGAAGGUUAUUUGGACACACCAGCAGUCACGUUUGGAAACUCUCAAAUGCUUGGAUUGUAAUUCUUGUGGAUGAGAUCAUCUAAAUCUUGGGCCCAAGCCGGACAAUGGGUGGACAAAGAACCCUAAAAUACAGUAAAGCUUCUAACACCCCACUAAAACUCUUAAGAAAUCCUACCUUUUAUUUUUAUAUCUCUUUCUUUUAGAAAUUAUAGAGAAGACAUAGCAUUUUAAUUAUUUUCCCUGCCAUUGAAAAUAAAUUCUGUAAACAUAUUUUUUCAUAAUAAAAUUAUUGUUAUUAGAUAAUUUAUUUCUUCAUUGUUUCAAAAUUAUUAUAAUUUUAUCAACAAAAUUAGUUAUGUCAUAUAUUAGGAUUAAAAUUAAUUAGGAUCCAUAACUUGUAAAGACAUUUUAGUUUAAUUGAAUUCAUAUUUGUCAUUUUAUGUAAUUUUCAAUAAAAAUACGACUAUGAGUGCAAAAGUGGGAUGACAUAAUAUUAAAAGAGUGUGAAAUAAUCGGUAAUUGAAAUGGAUUGAAAUCAUAAUAGAGUAUGAAAAUCAGAAUAAAUUGUUUACUUUAGUUGUAGAAAUCAAAAUUAAAAUAAACCAUAUUAUCAUUGAUGUAUAUAUGUUUUCUUGUAAUCGAAAUGAAUUCUUAUAAGUUACUAUAAGACCCUUAUGGUGUGUUUACUAAUCAGAAAUCAGAAUGGAGUGGAAUUUGAAUAUAGAAUGGUAGGGGUAUUCGCGGAUCGGAUUUUACGGAUUGGACAUUAAUUCAUAUCCGAUCCAUAAUUUUACGGAUUAUAAAUUCUCAACACAAUCCAAAUCCAAUCUAUAUGUUUGCAGAUCGGAUGCGGAUUUGACUCAAUUCAUAUCCAAUCCACUAUUUGACGGAUUGAUUUUGGAAUUAAAAAUUUUUAAUUUUGUCCAAUCUAUGAGGUAAUUAAAUUUAAAAAUCUAAUAUAAAAAUAAUUUAUUAAAUAAAAAAUUAACGUAAAAAUAAUUUUACUACCAAUUAAAUUCAAAAUUGAACAAGAUUUAAAUAAAUUAAUUAUUUAAAUAAAACUAGAAUAAUUUAUUUAAAAUUUUUAAAUAUAACAUAUCGAAAAAAAAUUCAUUUGUUUAGAUUAAUAUAUGAAAAUUAACUAAAAUUAUGAAUUUAAAUGUUGAAAUUUGAGAGCUUGGAUGUAACAGGAAGAAAUUAAGAAACUUGAAGAACUUGAAAAGAAAGUAACAAAUUAAGCUUAACUACCUCUAAUGGUGAAGUGAAACAGUGAUGGUUUGUGCGUGCAAUGGGGUACAAAUUUGGCAUUAUAUGCCAAAAUAUUUUGUUUGGCUUUAGAAUUUUUAAUGUUUAGGAAGCUAUAUUUGUUUAUUUAAUUACUCAAAUAUUUAAUUAUUUUUUAUUUUAUGUUAUUAUUGAAUAAGAUAUAAUAUUGUGUUAAUUUAGCUAUACUUUAAUUAAUUAAUUAAUUUAUUAGUAAGUAGCAUUGCUACAUUUAUAAGUUUUAUUUUUUAUUAAAUAAAUACUUUUUUUUUUCAGAUUCACGAAUUUUUACGGAUUUACAGAAAUAAAUCCAUAUCUAAUCCAUCGACUGUGGUUUUUUAAAUUUUCAUUCCAAUCCGAUCUACCAAUCCACAAAUUAUAUUUUUACGGAUCGGACGAAUUGAGCGGAUCAAAUUGGGUUCUGAACACCCCUAGAGAAUGAGAAUCAAAAUAAAUUAUUUACUUUAGUUGUGUGAAUCGGAAUUGGAAUAAAUUGUACUGUCAUUGAUGUGUUUACUUUAUCUUGGAAUCAGAAUGAAUAAUUUCAAAUUACUAAACUGACCUUAAUUUUUUAUUGUAAUAAUAAUAGUAGUAGUAGUAGUAAUAGUAGUAAUUUUCUAUUAUUAUUAUUAUUUUCUCUCUCUUUUGUUUUUAUUUUUUUAUUUUUCUCUUCUUCUUCUCUUCCUCUUUUUUUAUUUUUCUCUAAUUCAUCGAUACUUCUUCUUCUUCUUUUUUCUUUCGUUUUUAUUUUUAAUUUUUCCCUUCUUUAUCGUUCCUUCUUCUCCGUCCAUUCUCUAUCUUCAAACUCUUUUUACUUUUUCUCUUAUUCUUCAUUACUUCUUCUCCCUUUUUUUUUUUUUUCUCUUCUUUAUUAAUUCUUCUUCUUCUGCGUCUAUUCUUCAUCUUCAAAUUAUCAAGUGAAAAAUACCCACGGUGCCUUACAAGAAGAAUUGGUUUUGUUUGCUUCAAUUAUUUUUUGUAUUUUGUACUUUUGAUUGUUUCAAAAGAGGAUAAACUUGUAAUAAUGCAAUUUAAGUAGGGAUGUUUUAGACAAUUUUGGGUAUGAGAGUCUAAUUCCCAACCCCCCACUCCCUCGUAGCAGACUCCCAUUCUUCAUUCCUAACUUGGUGUUGGACCUACUAAAAUAAAUCCCAUUCCCCUUCUUAUUUCAAGAAGCAAACACGAUUUUGAUUUCAAUUCCCCAAUCCGAAAGUAAACGCACAAAAAUUGUACCCAUAUGAGAUUGCUUAUCCUCGAGUUUUUAGAUUGAAAAAAAAAAAGGAAAAAAGAAUGGCCCCAUUAGGAAGGGAUUUUAAGUGUUAGAUAAAGCCGGUGUUAACCAUUAGAAGGUCUCCGACCUUCAACUGUAAUAUAUUAAACCCAGAUAAAUUUACAUAUAAAUCACACAAACCAACAUGCCAAUCAAAUAAAUUACAUCAACUAACAACAAUUGACACAUUAAUUUUCAUAAUACAGAGGAUGCAGAAAAUUAAAAUGUUUUAUCUUUUCUCCUUAUUUGUGAAUUGGAAAAUGAAAAUGUUAAACAUACAGAAGAGUGAAACAGGAUGGAUAUAUAUACACACACACACACACACAGCUUUGGAGUUCAAUGUCAUCGUAUUGCUCCAAGAAGAUUGGCGCCAUCAAGCUUUGCACCUUCCAGAUGCUGUUUAAUCAUCACCAUAACACCUUCAGUAGACAUUAAUACAUAAUAGAAACACAAAAUUCACAUGAUCUGAAUGUCUGGUCUAUUUUACUUACCGUAUCUCGAAGAUUUACGUGCCGUAAAUAAGCUCUUUGAAGGUUGGCACCCUUUAAAUUGGCAUUACGUAGCUUUGCACCCUGCCGCAUAAAUGUUCGAAGUUUCAACAAAUUAAAGUCUCCUGAGAAAUACAUGUCACGAAAAAGUAGGGCUGAAACUUGCAUCUAAUGUACAAGAUUCAAUCAGGGGUGCUUGUCCCACAGUGAAAGUGUAUGGGGGAAAGUGCACUUUCACAAACCAAAGGGGCAAGAUGUGAUUAUCACACGAUUACAAAAGGACUGUAGUCAAGAGAGAGAACUGAACAUGCAGCUUGUAUUGAGGCCAUGAAAAUUGAUGAAAAGCAGUAACAAGCAACCAUUUUGAAAACACUUCAUAUGGUCGAAUCAAUAAAUCAAAGCUAAAAUGAUGUUGACGAUCGAUAGCUUUUAGGUGAUAAGAGUCUUGGCACUACAGUUAAAAUUAUUAUCUAGGAGUGCACACAUUAAUAAAAAAAAACACAACCAAUAAGCAUGCACUCUUAAUCAGCAUAUAAAUUAACAAGUUAGUUGCACCUUAUGUUGUUCCACAAACAGAUUGCUCGAACAAUUCACAAUCUUACCUUCAAAUUAGCUCCUUCCAAAUUAGCUCCCUCUAGGUUGGCAUUAGUAAGAUCAGCAGUCUGAAAAGUCAAGAGGACAAACAGAUUGCAAUUUGAUUAAAAUCUCAAAGUAGCAACAUUCUGCAUGAAAGAAGAGCAGCACAAUUGGCAACAUACAUUUUAGAUUAAGAGGAUGGGAUAAAAGCAAAAUUACAAGGACAUGAAGCAAAUGAGCCAUGUUUAGUAUGGCAAUUUUGACCCAAUAAUUGUGGCAGGUCUUGGAGAUAACAUAGGCAUACACAUAAGGCAGAAGCAAAUACUGUCGCAAACUCCUAGCUAACUACAAAUGUUCCAUAUAGAAAAAAACACCUGCAAAAGUAAGGGAAAAAGCAACAGAUAAAGAACUCAAGAUGCUAGACCUGUAAGUGUGCAGAUCGCAGGUCUGCUCCACAGAAGCUGCAGUCUAUCAAGCAAGCAUCUGCAAUGAUUUAAGAUAAAUUUGAAUCCAAAUGACAUUUUACCGCAAGUAGUUCCAGCCAUUUUGGGAACAAACAAGAAAUGCUAUUUUGUAUUCAUUGUAAUUCCUUAAGCUAAAUAACAAUCAUGUGCUAUCUUAACCAAGGUACAGUUGCAAAUUCUGAAAUUGUGAUGCCAUAGGUUGUUCUUAAUCUUUUUGAACUGAAUAUUGAAAAAAUAUUCCUUCAAUCAUAAAUGUUAAAUAAUUAAAAGAACUGUGAGGGGGGNNNNNNNNNNNNNNNNNNNNNNNNNNNNNNNNNNNNNNNNNNNNNNNNNNNNNNNNNNNNNNNNNNNNNNNNNNNNNNNNNNNNNNNNNNNNNNNNNNNNNNNNNNNNNNNNNNGGGGGGGGGGGGGGGGGAAUGAAUAAGCGGAUGCAUACAGAAAAUUAUGGAAAAUCUGUUAUGGAAAUAAUAUGAAAAUGGGUAUGCAUAACUACAUACUGAAUCUUGACUAAUUUCAAUUUAAUUCAGAUAAGAAAUUCCAGUAUGGGAAUUGCCUUGUAAAUUUGCACUCUGAAGAUUUGCACCAGCUAGUAAAGCUCCACGAAGGUUUGCCCCAGCAAAUUCACAUCUUCCCUAGGCAAGAUAAAACCCUUAAAAGGCAAUUUUGAAAAAUACAUAUAAUUGGGAGAAUAUCCAGUAUUGCUUUGACUCUCUUACUCACGCAAAGUUGCAUUGUGAAAAAUGGAACCCUCAGCAUCCACAUCCUGUAUCAAGAACAGACAGAUUCAGUAUGAUUAAUAUAACUGGUUGCUGGAAGACAGGACAAAAUCGCAUCUUGUCACUGUCAACUUGCAUGUUAAGAAUUAAACACGAAAACUGCAUGCUGUCCAAUUAUAAGAAACCUAUAAAAUUCAAAUCAACAUCAAUACUGGCUUAAGGAAGAUAUAAAAAUAAAAAUUAUACCAACCCGAAAUUUCGCAGAUUGAAGAUUUGCACGUGAGAAGAAAACAUUUCUAAGACACGCAUAGCUGAAGUCCACAAGUGAAAGAUCCUGGCCAUUUUAAUAAGAUAGCAUCAGAGGAAACAAUAUCUAAUGAAUAUAUAAUGUUCUUUCUUGCUUAUCUGAGAAUACUAAUGAGAUUAUCAAAAAAACUCUAAGCUACUGCUAAGAAGUCUUGUGUUACAUGAGUAUGAAUUGAGGAGGUAAAGAAGACCCUUCUCCAAUAAGUUACCAUAGAAGCCACAUAAAACCCUAAAGCAGUUACAAACUUACAAUGACCAGAAUAAACCACCCCAACUAUCUAUUGGCAAGUAAAAUCACUUCUCUGGAUUUCUGAAAACUAGCAAAACAAAUGCAUAAAUUGGCAAAUUCGAUGAUUUCCUCUGAAAACCAAAUUAUAGCAGACAUAAAACUUGGAAGUAUUCAUAGAAUAAAAAUCUUUCAAGCACCUCAAUUCAGUAAUUAUUACCAGCUUAGAAAGAUCAAGGCCAGAAAGAUUAAGUCCUCGAAAUCUGACUUUUUCAGACUGUAUACACUUGAUGAUAUCAAUGCGUGUUAGCUCAGUAUCUAACUCAUUAUCUUCCUUUCUCUUAUUUAUGACAGCAUGGAUUCUCUCAAUUAGUCCCUGAAAUGAAACACAUUAGAUGCAAACUAUUAUUUGAAAAAAGAAAUACAUUUUAUCCACUAACACACAUGGAUUUCAACAGCAAUCAUACAAUAAUUGAGGAAGGACGGUCAUAUCAGACUCAUCUGCCAAGAUUCAAUAAGCACAUCAAACUUGUUUACAUGUAAUUUCCACAUUCCACGUGAAUUUAUAAGGUCUGCCUAAGCAAACCAAAGAAGGCUACACUCAGUACUGUGUGUAUACUGCCUUACCUUUGCUGUUCCCCAGAUACCGUCCUGCAAUCCAGAUACUUAGCUGUGAAGUUUCAAGCCAGCGAAACCAUUUUAAAAGUACACAUGGACACAGAUACCAUUAUCUGAAUCAUCUUCGAUAACAAAUUAAAAUGCCCUAGCGUUCAAAAAACUUAGGAUCUCUUUAAGUGAAGUUCCUUUAAAAAAGUAGAAAAAAACUGAACAACAAUGUCAUGCUAAUAAAAGGUAAAAAAAAUAAAAUAAAAUAAAGCAUAAGGACAGAAGUUCACCAGGAGCAUGCCAGUAUAAACCAAAACGACCACAAAUCUCAACCAUAAAAUUUAAAGUAGUAAAGUAAAUAAUCAAGGGCAUGCAGUUGGCACAGGUGCUUCCAAAUAAAAUGAUGAUUCUUUUCAAACAGAAAAAAGAAAUGGAUGUUAAUAAACUAGAAGAAACCAUGUCUUACAAGUAAUUGAUAAUAUUCUGCUUCCCGUAGAAGCUCUAAAAACUCUGACUCUGUUAAUGUGGGGACAGCCCCAUCCCUUAACCAAUUCAGAAUAUGCCGAAAAUGUUUUCCGUCCCUAUCAACAAAGAUAUAGCCCUGCAAUAAUUCAAUAUGCUCAAAGAUAAGAAUCUGAAUAAUAUACCCAAGAGAAGUGCUUUUCCCUGGAAUAAUAAAAAGAAAAUAAGUCAAAACGUUUUUCUUAAUGGAAGAACACAAAGGAACAGCUCUAUGACUAACAUGAAAACCAUAAAUCAGAAUAAGAACCCAAAACUGGUCAUUUGGAGUUUCACCAGAUCAAAAAGAUCACAUGGAAAUAAAAUUGUGAAAAUGGGAUUAUUUAUGCCGAGGUCAUGGCUAAACUGCAAUCAUUACUCCAUUUUUGGUAGAAGGAGAAGAAGAAAGAAGAGUAGGUGAGUCAUCAUUCUUUCAGGUGAGUCAUCAUUCUUUCUCUGUGAUUAAUUGAUAUGAUGGAAGUGUUGUAGAUAUUAAUUUGAUAGUGAUUCCUCCCUUCAAAAGAAUUCAUUCCUUUUUUUAUUAUUUCACAAAGUUUAACUAAGACUGAGUUUUCUCAAUUUGAAGGCAUCGUGCACUCUACCCCUUUCUUUUCCUCACAUUGCUUCUUCCCAAUCCCAAAGGGAAGAAAUCAAGAAACAAUUACAAUUUUUAACUAUUCACCAGCAAAAACAAGGCAAAGAAAGAUGCUGAGUGUAAGCAAAAAUAAGAGAGUUAUACACCUCAGAGUCUUGGCACACAGUAUGGCGACCGCUGAACAUAGCUGCAAGCAUAGAUUCAGGCUCACGACGAGUCAGAGUAUCAAUUGUUGUAUAAAAUUUCUUUCCCCCUGGAUAUUAAUACAUAAAAUAUAAAUUUGUUCACUUAAAAGCAUGAAUUGUGCAAAUUUGUCAAUAAUGUCAUUCUUUCACAAACGUUCACCGAAAUGUAUAACAAUAAGUGCAUCAUAACAUAACUAAACGGCUUAAGAACUGCGCAGAUAUUACAUACAGUAGAGAAACAAGAAAUAGAAAAUGAGAUUUGCCCUUUUUAAACAGAAAGCAAUCAAAGAGUAAACUAAAGAGCUAAUAAUUCACAAAAUUCAGUUGAUUAAACUCAUUUACAAGUAAUUAGCAACAAAAUCCAAGCUAAAUAAAAAUAAUGAAAAUUAGGUUCUUAUAACAUCCGUCAAUUCUAUGAAAGUUUACCACGAUCAGCAACAAAUAGAUAAAUCGCAAUAAAGAAAAACCGACGACAUGUCGGUUGUGUAGUGCAUAAGUAAAGGAAUUUGCAGAUGAUGUAAAGAGAAUGAGGGAUAGUAACUGACCGAUGUUGAGACGAACCAUUGAAGACGAAUCGGAGUCCUUCGCCAUUGUCGAGUGUAAUGACUUGUCGUCUUACUUGCGCUCAUAGGUAUUUAUAUCAUAGCUGACACUGUUCGAAGGACAGCAAGGAUUUGGUGGGCACAAAUGCAUUUUGGAAAUUGGGCUUCGGCCCAAGAAAUCGAAAAUCAGAGGCUUUUUUUUAAAAAAAAUUUAAAAGGAUUAGAAUGUCUAUAAAUUAAUAGGGCUGAGACCAUCUUAAAUCUAUUAAGUAAAAGAGAUAUUAAAUAUUUUAUUAAUUAAUAAUUUAUUAAUUUACAGAAUUAUUUAUAAUUCAAUUAACAUACAUUUAAUAACUAAACAUUCAAUGUACAUAAUUUCUGAUUACAAUUCAAAGCACUAACAAUACUUCAUAAUUUCUUAUUACAAUUCAAGAAUUCAACCUCAUAGCUUUUAGAUGCAAUAAGAAAAAUAAGAAAUAAGAUUCAGUUAUAUUUAAAUUUUAAGAAAAAAACAAUAAAAUCAUAUUUUAUGUAAUUAAAAUAUCAUAGUCAACUACAUUUGUAAUUUCAACAAAUUAUUACUCUAUGAUUUAAAUGAGACCACAAAGUUAUAUAAGAUUUUAUCGAAAUUAUUAAUUUAAUCCAUUAGUCCAUGUCAAGACCUUGAAAAUUUAAUAAUUAUAUAAUAGAGAUUAUUAAUUUAUCGAGUAUUAAUUUAUAGAAGUUCUGAUUGUAUAUUAUUUUAUAUUAAUAAAGAAUAAAGUAGCAUUCUUUUUUAAUUCCGAAGUAAUAAAAUUAUGGCUAAAUUAAGAGAGUAGAUAUAUUUUAUAACUUGGUUUAAUAACAUCACGCGCCUCCCUUGUAGUUUUGCAGCUUUGAAGCUUUAUAAUGAAUCCUAUUAGCUUUGGCUGGAAAGUUAUAUUGUUAAAGAGAGUUUAUAUAUUAAACAAGGUGAUCUAAUAUUUCCAAAACUAAAUUUGGGAUCAAAAAUAGAAAACAUUUGCAUGUUUUUACCUUUUGGAAGAAUUACUUGAUAAGUGCUUCACAGAAAAAUGCUUGCUAUUAUAGAGCACCCUAAAAAAAAUCCUUAAUAAUUGAGGGAUCAUAAUAAAGUUCAAUUCUAAAUCUGUCAGAUAGAUCGAAAGUAACAAACCAUAUAUAUUUAAAUCUAUUUAGUAAUCCAGGGUUACAAGCCAAGCGUGCAAUAGCCAAUUCUGAAAAUCAAAGCUCAGCCUAUGCUCUCUGAGCACAAAUAAGAUCUGAUAUAUACAUAUCGAAUCCUCCAUUAUGUGGAGUGAAAUUUCCAUCGUGUACGGUGUACCUAACAAUGAGAAAGCAUGGCAGCAUAAAUUCAUCUUCCAUGUUAUUCUACUUAUUAGUACUGGUUCCCUCAUAACUUCUCCAAAUCGGGGAGGUCUGCAAUGUGUAAAGCACGUAAUCAGAUAAAAGAAAGAGAGCCAAAAAAAAAAAAAAAGGUAACAGCCAAAAGAUUAAAUUUCUUUGAGAAAUAGAAAAUGGGAGCUUUUGGCAUAGGCACAGAAUAGAAAGUAACAGAGUCAUUUACAGUUGUUCAGAAUAUGCAAGCUGAAAACAACUUUGAAUGCAAUGGACAAUUCCUCCAACAAACAAUCGAAUUGGAUUGUGGAAGAGACAAAAGCUUAAUGAGGUUAUGGUUUUGGCUAGGUGAACUCAAAAUUCUUUUAUAGACCAAGUAGGUAAAAACAAAUCCCAUAUAGAUGGAUGAACCUCAUACCAUGAACAGUUAAUCGCGAACACUUGCAGGCUUAUGCACACGACUAUGAAGAUACUAAGGGUUUCACCGAUGGUAAGUGAAAAAUAUAUGAUGUAUAAUUUAAAUGGAAGCACAUAGUUUCGGAUUGAAUUCAAGGUUAAAGUUCCACAGACAGACAGAAGAGAUGAAGCUUAAAAACUUACAGAGCAUUCCUUCAUCAUCACUGCUUUCAUCAUUUUGGCCAACAUGCUGAAAAAAGAAUAUGAUUCAAGUUAAAUGAUUGAGCAACAAUAAAAAACGUGCAAAAUUAAUGCUCUCUCCACAAAAAUUUCAGUCUAUAUUGGUAAGAAGAAACAGGAAGAAAAAAUUACCUCAGCAUCAUCGUCAUUGGAAGCCAAAUCAGCUGUAAAGACCACAAAAUGUUUGGUUAGAACCAGUGGAAGUCUUACUCUAAAAUUUUUAAUUUUUGAAUUUCGAAAGAUCUCGUAAUGACAAAGAUUUUCAUAUCCAGUGACCAAGUUUUGAAAAUUAGAAUACGGAAUGACAUCAACUAAAUUCACUAAUAUAAGCUAGAGGAAUCCCUAGUAGAUAUAGCGCACAUGCACACAUGAUAUGCAUCCGAAUACACAAUAAUAAAUUAUCUCAAAGUCAAUAAGAAGCCAAAAUUAGAGAUAAACUUUUAGCCACUAUAAGGAAGACUGAUAUUUGCAGUGUGAUUACAAUAAACAAACAGAAACUUCACUACCCAUAAGUAAAACAAAAUAAAUAAAGGAUAAUAACUAACCAAGAAAUGGAAAAGCUCACAUUCUCUGAACACGCACCCCAAAAAGAAAGAAAGAAAUAAAUGUUCUCAUUGGAUCUGAAGCACAAGCAAUCCACUGACAUCCUUCUAUAAUUAGGUAAUUUAAAGGGGUUAAGCUCACAUCUUUUACGGAAGUAAGAAGAGAAUUAACAACCUUCCAGAGGAUUUAGGGAAAUACCACGAGGCAAGAAAAAAGAAAUAUCCUUCUUCAAUCUAGAUAUCCUGAUACUGCUCACCAUCUACAACAGUCUGUGGCUUAAAAAGCAGGUCACUGAUCUCUCCCUCCCUCUGGCACCAUUUUCUCUCAUGUCUCAUUUUUCCCUUCCUGCCAACUCCCACUACAGUAUUGAAACCUAUUCUAUCAACUCUUCCCCCUCCAAUAACAAGACCAAAACCAAUUUUACUCGCCGGUUAGCUAGGUAGUAAAUGGAAAUUUGUGAAUCUGUCAUUCAUCCGUAGAAACAAACCAGAACUGCAUAAAUUCUCUUCUCUCCCAACAGCUUCUUUUCUCCAGAAAUAGGCACAAGUAUUUGACAUGGAAACAGUUUAUCUAACAUGGCCACCUUUAAAGACAAAGACAUACUAAGGACGUGGUUUUAGAUACGGAUACAAGAAACAAUCACAAAAUGUAAAAUCUAUACAUAUGAUAUUAAUUUCCAAUGGAUACAGCAAUUCAUUCUUUGACAUAACUUCAUCAGAUUACUAGGUUUGAUUAGGUUAUACACACAUUUAUUCAUUUAUUGAAUCUACAUGCACUUAGAAUGAGAGGUACCUAUAAAAACAAGUUACCAGAAAACAAUACAGCUAGAAAACAUUAAUCUAAGUAGUUCUAUAGGUUUAACUAACUGCAGGAAAAAACCAUUGAUUUUGUCCGCCAGAUUAUCGAGAUCCUAAUUCUGGUAAAAAGAAAAUGAGAUAAUAGAAAAUCAAAAAUUAAAUAGACACAAAAUGAGAAAUCAAGAUCAUAUGGCAACUAAUAUAUAGCAUGGGCUGCAGCUAACAAGCAAUAUAAGCCAUGAUAUUAUGCCAGAUACAAAUUUUGAGAUCCAAGAGAGAUCAAGAAGCAUGAAUACCACUAAAAUAUCGAAAGAAGUGAGUGCAGAAGGAUAAGAAAUCAGGUUGAUAUUCUUCAUACUUUGGAUCAACACGUAGUGAUGCAAUAAACUUGUAAUUAGCUUCAAAUGUAUAGGCUACCAUGUCAACAUUUCCGAAAACACACAAGAUUGUGCUGGAUUCAUACAUAGUACAUAUAUAAAAAAACAAUCUGCUUCUAAACUUCAUGAGAACAUCGAAUAAUGAACUUACAAUUUGAUCCCUCAUCAUCUUCAUCGCACCAUUUGUUCCAAUCAACCUUAAUGUAAGGUGCUGGUUUCUCUUCUGACUUGAGUAGCCUUUUCCACCAACCUUUCUCUUCUUUUUGGACCGAGCAUAUUAUGUUCCUUAAGCCAACUUUAGUCUUACAUUUCUGCACCACCAGCAACAAAACUCAAAGCAUUACAAAAGAGGUAUAUUUAGCCGCUCUUGACUCGAGUGAGAGAACAGGAUAAAUAGCCUAGGUAUAUCCACAUCCAUGUUAUGAGAUUGAUUAUGCAACAGCUAACUUUAAUAUAAAGCUUUUGCUUCAACAAAGACUAAAAUGUUUGUAAUUGUUAUGCUUUUGGAGCUAAAAUGUUUGGCAAACACCCACUUUUACUCUGCACCUAAUAUCUACCACCCACCCACACACUAAGUCUCUCGUUUGGUACAGCUAUUUAUCAGUAGUGGCUUUAAGCCACAACAUUUAAAGCGAAUUUACCCUAAAAUUUUACAAUGAAAAACCUAUACUACCUUUAACAUUGUUGUCAAAAUUAUUAUUAUAAGUAAUAUUUACCAAACACUAUCAACUUCCAAUUCAUAUCAAAGAGCUUUCACUCCACAAUAGCCGUGUCUUCUUAAGCCAGAACAACACAAUACCAAAGGCCUUAAGCUAGUGAUUUGAUUUCACAACAACUGCAGAUCAAGCCUCAAUCCCAAACAUACAUAAAUCAAAUGCAGAAAGCAAAAAUUUAACAAUAUGUUUGGUAUACUAAAUGUCUUUCAUAGUUUCAUUUCACAGGGUAUUUAGACAUGCAAUGAUAAAUUGGAGCAAUUUCAAGAACCGAAUUGACCUCAGGUAAAAUUUUGCCAAAAAGUUCCAAGCUGAAGUCGUAAAGCUCGCCUUGGACUCCGACGGCCGAGAAGCCAAAAAUCCCCUGAGGCUCGCAUUUCACAGAAAUGUCUUUCGCAUCGGGUAAUGAAAUGGUAAGGUAUACUUUAUCGGAGCGCUGAGCCCAAAGAACCUCCGGAUGGCGACUGAACAUAAAAGAAAUAAUAAUAAUAAUAAUAUUAUUAUUUUUUAUUGUGACAAUUUUGAACUAAUAAUUAGAGACAUUUAACAACAAUAUUGAUUAAUAUUGGAGAAGAAAAAUAAGGUUACAAGAGAGAAUCAGAAAGAUUACCUCAUUCUGGUGGAUGAUUGAAAACGGUGGGUCGAUUGAUGAACAGAAGUGUAACUGUCUGGGAGUGAGAGUGACUCUGCUGUUUACUGGGUAGAGUGUGCUUACUCGAAGAAAUUGAAAGUGAUAAUCUCGGGCAAGCCAACACGUCGAUUUGGUCAACAGUGGUCCAACAAACCAGGAACUAGGUUUUUUUUUUUAAAUGAUUUUUUUUUUCAGUAUUAUAUUGCCCCGCCCGUGGGCUAUUACAUUUUGGCCCUUUUGGGGACCCCUCGUUCUCUUACAAGAAGGGAAUAUUCUUUUCCAUCCACCGGUUUGUAGGCAGAGUACAUAUACUCUUCGAAAUUAAGGACAAAUUUCUGAAUCGUGCCGCAUUAGAAUUAAAUUGAGUCUCAAAAGAAUUUUGGUUAUAAGUAUAUCGUUCAAACGGUAAUAUAUUAAAAAAAAUAAUAUUUACUACAAUGUAGACCUAUCGGGACUUUGAAGCCCAGACCAAUUCUUGAGUCUAGCCUAAUAACACCUCAACAGAUCAAAAUUGAAAUCCAACUUAAAUUUCAAUAUUGUGUAGGGAUCUGCCUUAAUUUAGAUAUGUCAAGACCUGCCUUAGGCAUCAAAGUGAUCUAUCUUAACAUAACUAAGACUUUCUUUAAACAUCACAAUGAUUUAUCUUAACGUAGUCAAAUCUAGCCUAAAAAAAUCUAAAGAAGGAAAAAAGAAAUUAUUUUCACGUAUUGAGAGACUUAAAUUCUUAACCUUAUUCAUAAGAAAAAAAAGUGUAUUACUUAACUAAAUCGUGACUAAAAAUUAUAAUUAUUAUUUUUUGUACAUUUAGCUUUAAAAAAUCAUUAUAUAUAUAUAUUCAUAUAAGUUUUGACAUAAUAUACAUACCACUUAUUUGUUUUUUAAAUUAUACGAGAAUGAAAAAACUCAAGCAUUAAACACCAACUUUUGUUUCAUGCUAUCAAUCAACUUGAGAAAUUUUAUAAUAUAUCGGAAGUUCUACGUCACAAUUUAAUACGAAGCCUUCGAUUAAUAAUAAUUAGACACAUGACAAUAGAUGCUAGAGAAAUUUUAAAUUCCCUCUUUUCAUUAUCCCUCCAAAUUUAGAAUUUCAAAAAAUUAGAGAAUAAAUGUUGCUUGCUCUCUUUGUUAUCUAAUUCUAAUUAUUAUUUUUUUCUCUCUCUCUCCAAUCAAGUUGCUAGCAUUUUUUAAAUCUAUUGAAGAAUAAGAAGAAGGUUUUUGUCGAUGAAAUGAUUUUGGCAGCCUUUUUUACCCAAAGCUAACAUGAUUGCUGCGACUACCAAUGAAGAAAAAGAUGUGUUUUGCUGGCGAAGAAGAUGAUUUUUGAAGCAUGAGUGGCUGCCGUUUAUUUUUUUCCUUCAUAUUUUUCGAUGUAGUGGCUGUCCUCAAGUUUUAUUCAUUUACUUUUCAGUUGGCCUACUAUUUAUUGGCAUAAUGAAAAAUUUUAUUUUAAUAAGCAUUUAUAGAUUAAUUUGAGGAGGUUUCUUUUGCAAUAUUAGUGUGGUUUCUGCAUUGGUAUGAUUUAAAUUACGAACUUGCUACAAUCUUUAAUUAAACUGUCAAAAGUAAUUUAAAAAAUCUUUAAUUAAACCGUCAAAAGUAAUUUAAAAACUGACAGUAGAUAGAUUAGAGAUAGGCUUGACAAUUUAGCCCGACUCUAUUUUUAGUCUGAUUGAUCCGAUCCUAAUUUUUAAGACUUUGGCCUGAAUUUUUUGAUUUCGGGUCGGGUUCGGGUCAAAAUUUUAAGGCCCGAACAAAUUUAGGGUCAGGGUCGGACUUAAAACCAACCCGACCCGACCCUAUUUAAAAAAAAAAAAACUAACACACGCACACAACACAUGACAGUUCACUCUCUCUAAAUCGUAAAUCACACACACAAAAUACACUUACACAAAUUCACAAAAACCCUAAGCCAGCCACCCAGCCUGCUGCCGUCCUAUCAGCCAACAUCGUGACCGUCCGCCGCACGCCAGCCAAUCAGCCGUCGUCUCGUCGUCGCAUGUCUCACCAAUCAGCCAUCGUGACCGUCUGCGACGCUGCGACAUGAACUUGAACCAGCCGCCCUUUGUCGCCGUCCUGCCGCAUCCGCCUGCCAGCCAACGAUCAAUGCACACAGUUGAAUUGUGGGGUGGGAAAUGGUUUCGAUAGGGUCGGGCUCGACCCGACCCUAACUAUAAAGAGGUAGGGCUUUUUUAGGGUCGGGUUUUAAUUUUUUGUUGAUCGGGUCGGGUCGGGUUUGGCCAAACCCGAGCCCGACCCGACGUUUUGCCAUCCCUAAUUAGAGAUGAAGAUUGGAGAGAGAGAAAAAUAUAAUUUGAAUGAGAUAAUAAAGAGAGAAGAAAUUCUAUAAUACAUCAUAAGUAAUAUAACUCAUUGAUGUAUGCAUGAUAUAUGUAAUUAACCUUAAUAUAACUAACACUUGUAUGGUGAUAUUUCAAAAUAAAUAUACAUAUGUUAUAAAAUCAUUUACUUAUUGUAUGACUGACAUUUUAUUUUUGAUGUAUUGUACAAUUUCUCAGAAGAGAGUAGUAUUUAUUAUCUCUAAUUUUUUGAAAUUCUAAAUUUUGGAAGGAUAAUAGAAAGAGAAAUUUUAAAAAUUUUUCAACGUAUAAUGCCAUGUAUCUAAUUAUUAUUAGUCGGUGUUCCACGUUAAAACGUAAUAUAGAACCUCUGGACCUUACUGUAUAAUGUACUGUAGAAUUUCCUGAUCACACACUUUCUCAGUUGCAAAAGAGGUGGGCAUAUGAGUUCCUUACGGGGAUUUAGUGUGAAUCCACGCAAAGCCCAUAUAGAUUUUUCCGGUUAACCGCUAUGGCAUCCUAGUUUUAAACUCAGUACUAAAUUUACAGAUCCAUUUAAACCCCCCAAAUCAGUCUCUCACCGUCUCAAGUCUCAAACAAAAAACCUGACCGGAACCCAAACCGCCAAAUCCGAUUCGAUGGUGGACUGUGCUAAAACCCCUAAAAUUCCAAGACUGACAUGCGGUAAAGGAGAUGGUGAUAGACUUAGCAAUCUUCCGGAGCACAUCAUUUAUCACAUAUUCUCGUUCAUGGAAACAGUUGAUGUUGUUAGAGCAAGCACUGUUUCGCGAAGAUGGAGGUACUUGUGGCUUUCCGUUCCUUAUUUGAACUUCGACUAUCACACAAUUUGGUCAGACCCGGAAAGUAGAUGGUCUCGUAGGAAAAUCAAUGAUAAGUUCAAAGAUUUUGUCAACUGGGUAAUAUUUUCUCAAAAUGGGUCUGUUAAUAUUCAAAGAUUUCGUCUUUGCUGCUGGGAUUAUUUAGCAAGUUACGAUAACGAUAGAACGAUUUACAGAUGGGUUUCUGCUAUGGCACGUCGAAACGUGCAAGUGCUUGAUCUGGCUAUAGCUUCACUAUACCCAUUUGAGUUUGACUUGCCACAUAGUCUUGUAACUUGUGAUUCAUUGGUGGAACUGAAGUUGAGUUUGAGCUUUCAUGUUCACCGAUGUUUUUUAAAGCUGCCUACUGCUGCUGGUUUUAUUGGGCUCAAGUCUCUUGAUUUACAAAGUGUUGCGUUGGAUGAUAAUUUGUUUCCUGAAUUUAUUUCAAAUCUUCCCCUGCUUGAGAAUUUGUGUAUGUUGUCAUGUGUUUUUCCUGAAUUGAAGGUUCUUGACAUUUCUUCCACUAAUUUGAAGAAUUUGGCUCUGGAAUCCAUUGUUGGCAAUGAUAAUGCUGGCAAUGAUGAUGCUGGCAAUGAUGAUGCUGGCAACUACAAGCUUAAGAUUGCUUGUCCAAAUCUUGUGUCUUUUAAUUAUAUAGCUUUAGCUCCAUGGUUACCUCACUUUGCUUUUGAGAGCUUAAACUCCUUGCAAAAUGCAUUCAUUGACCUGGAUGAUUAUAACGAGGAUGACAUGGAGAACGAAAGAUGUCAUGUUUUAUCUACAAUCUUCAAUGACUUUCGUGAAGUUAAAGUUUUGAAAUUAUCAGAAGCCAUUCUUCUCGAGGUAUGAUUUCAAAUACAUUCAUUGCACCAAAUCAUGAUUCUGCCAGAACUUGUCUACACUUUUUUAUUUUGACAUUAGAAAUGAAGCUUAAGUAAACUGAAUCUACUUUCUUUGUUUGGUAAAAUAAGAAUUCUAUUGAUUAUGGAACCUUCCUAAAUGCUAAUUUGUUCUUUAGACUGUGUAUAAGUCAUUGUGACAUUGUAUGAAGUCUCAUUUAUCUGAGUAAUCAAUUGUUAUUGAUGUCAAAGACUAGAACUCAUUGGUGACUUGAGUUUAUGUAUAUUAUCGUUUGUUAGAUUUUUUGUGUGAUUAUUGCACUUAACUUGACUAAUGUAUUCUCUUUCUUUUUGCCAUUGUUCCUCCAGGUUCUUGAUCCUGAUCCUGCUCACGAAGAACCAGCAUUUUUUUCCACUUCAUUCAAUAAUUUGAAGUCCUUAAUACUUUCUGCAGGUCCGGGUGUAUGUCUCAUGCCAUCAAUGCUUAGGUUGCUCAACUGCUCUCCAAAUCUAGAAGCUCUUGCAAUAUAUUCUCCUAAGGUAAUCUUAACACCAAAAACUAUUCCAUUUGUUAGAUACCGUCGCUUCUAUCCAUUUUUUUUAAAAAUCAUAUCUCCCAUUUAUGUGCUAAAAUUUUAAUUUUGUUAAAGUGCAACUGGGCUUUGCUUAAAUUAUCGCAAUAGAGUUGAAACCUGAAAGUAUUUGUGAUAUAUUAUGUUUACCGCUUAGAGCUUAAAGUAAAUGUUAAUCUUGUGGCCUCUUGGUUGUUCCCAUGCUAUUGCUUGUUGAGCAGAUGGUUGAAUUUAGAGUCAAUCAAUCGGUUGUGUUCUUCUGAGGUUUGUGCAAGUUUUGUAAAAGAGCAAAGUUUAGUAUUUGUUUAGUUUGUGAAAAUGAUAUAGCUUUUUCUAAUUCAUCUUACUCUAUUCUUUGCUUAAAAAUGAAUUCUCCUUUUGAUUUGAUUCCUUGACUGCAUUUCGGUCUGUUUUCUCUUGGCAGCAUCGGCGUGGAUAUAAUGCUUAUAGGAAAACACCGAACAAGGCUGCUAUUUCAUGUUUGACAAAUCAUCUCAAGACAGUUGAAAUAAAACAUUUUAGCGGUGAUAUGAAUCAACUUGAAAUUGUGAGGUUUCUUCUAAGGAAUGGACAUGUAUUGCAGAGAAUGAGUAUUAGAUGGGUGGCAGAUGUUAAGAAUCAAGGGAAGAUUAUCUCAAGGAUAAUGAAGUUUCGGAGAUCAUCUUCAAGUGUUGUGCUGAAAUUCCUAGAUCCUAAGCCAGCUGAUGAUUUUUCAGAUUAUUUAUUUGAUGAUGAGCAAAAGAACUAAAAUUAUGUUUAAAUUAAAAAAAAAAAAAGUGGUUUAAGUGUAUGUUCGAAUUAAAUAGUCUUUUGGAUUUGUAGAAACUGAAAGGAGUACAGUGCCAGUCACUGUGGCAGCCUUAUGUUUUGUUUGAAAAAAUUCGGAAGCUUCUAAAUUGUUAUAUACCUCAAUUCUGAAGUCGUUAGUAUGUAUAUUAUAAGCAAUACAUAUGUUCCAUUUGUCAUAUUUUAUUUUGGCAUUACGAUUGUUUUGUCUUGAUUAAUAUUGAUUAUAAUUUGUUUAACAUUUAUCUGGCAUAUGUAGAAUUAUACUUUAUCUGAGUAGAUGACGCUGCUGCGUACAUCUUCAGGACUCGGUCAUAAACUGUUUAUCUCUGCGUCUGUCUAGCAUCCAUCCACGUAUGACCUGUCGGCUUUUUGCCCGCAAGCAUACAGUUAGGGGUGGUAAAAAUAUCUGUCCGGUCUGGAUUCGGUUCGCACCCGGAUGUUUUAUCCGGCCCGGUCUUGGGCAUCAUUUGAUAAAUUCGGAACCCGAGUUUUAUUAAGCGCCUUGGCCGUACAGCAGUAUAUUAUUUUAAAUAUUUAUAUUUAUUUGACUCAUUUAUUACAUAUAUAUAAAGUUUUAGACACUUAAAGUUUAUAUUUUCAUGUCAAAUUUCAUUAAAAUAAAUUUAAAACUUAUAAAAUUACCAAAAAAUAAAAAAUAUAUACAUAUAUAAUAUUAAAAAAUAUAAAAUCUGGGUACCCAAAUUAAAACCCGGCACAAUCCGACCCAGGCAUCUAUGCAUCCGGGUCGGGUCCGGUCAUUACGAUACCCCGACCCAGCCCAGGGUUUUGCCAUCCCUACAUGCAGUGUAUAUGAAUUGCAGUUCUUGUACGGACAACAUGUCAUCCAUAAAACUCGAGUUAUGUUCUUUUUAAUCUUUAGUUUAGAUUACAUUUUGCAAAACUAAUAAACGAUAGAGCUCCUAGCAAGGUCAAUAGUUAACUGCGAAUCCAGAAGAUCGGAAUGCUAUACCUUUCAAACAUGCAUUUCAAAGCCAUCUGCGGAAAUGGAAAACAAGCAUUUCAAACUCGUUGUUAAAACAAUGAUAAAAGUAAUUUUAAUCCUAAUUUUUAAUUCCAGGCAUGAAGCUAACUCAUAUACAAAGAGAUAUCAAGUAAGCAGAGGCGAAAGCUAAAAGCUUUGGUUACAGGGGUCGGUGUGAAUAAUGUAUAUAUCGUUUAGACAUAUUUUUGAAUAUCUAUUUUAAUUUAGGGGAUAUUAUAUAUAUUUAAAAAAAAUUAAAAUUUUUACGGGAGCCAUGGCUUACUAUAGUCUCCAUUAAGAUUCACCCUCCCUACUUUUCGUACUUCAUUAAAGUAUAGGAUAAAUAUUUACAAUAUUAUAAAUAGAUUUUAUAAAAGCAGUCCAUAUAUGAAAGUCCUUCUGCACUCUGAAUUAAAUAAAAAUAACGUGAGACUAACAAUUUAAGAGUCUUUUUUGCAACGUAUAUCGUGCAGUGAUGUACUCUAUCGACGGAGGACUCUCUUCAUAUGCUUUUUAUUUUUCCAUGCCUGAUUAUAAAUAGGAUCACUCUAUGUUACAUUAAACGUAACGUACACACACUCACAACAACAGUAACAAGUCCCAUCAUUAGAACUGUUGCUGUGAGUGCGUGUAUGUUACGUUUAACGUAACAUAUCACUAGCCUUAUAAAUAACAUCACUUUUAAGGAUUUUUACAAAUUUUUAUUACAACCGUAACUUUUGUCCUCAUACAAUAACGGUGUCCAUUGUCCACAUAUAAAAAGUUCAUCAAUAAACAUAUAACCUAAUUAAAAUUCGUGACAAAAUCCAAAGGAAAGAAAGCGUGGAGUAAUAUAUAUAACAAAGGCAUUGAGCAUACACCAGGUGUAAUUUGCAUUGCAUGGCCACCCUUACGUGGCAGUUCCGCCGAUUAACACAUCUUUAAAAGUUAAAGCCCCCCUCUCUCCUUGUUAAGGGCGUUUCAACACAACACUCAUCAAUGCAAGCAAAGAGACAGUGAAGGAAAAAUUAAGAAACCAAUAUUGUCACUUGGAAGAAAGAAACAAUCAUUACAUAUAUAAUACGAUGGAUACUAAGAACAACAGGAAGCAUUUGUCCUGCAUUGCCAACGACGUCGUUCACAGAUGUGCACUGUACGUAUCUCUCUCUCUCUCUCUCUCUCCUUUUCUUUUUCUCCCCGAUCACUUUGUUUUCUUUAUAUAUACGAAUGUAUGUAGAACGUAGUAGGUUUUGUAUAAAUAUCUGUUGCACACAUUAUUUGAUGUGCAUUUAAAUAUAAUUAAUGGUAAUUGAGAUGACACACAAAGACAAUGCAAAAAAAGAAAAAAAAAGAGAGAGUAAAUUAAUGAAUUUGCCUUGAUCCAGUUAAUUUGUGUGCAUUUAGCUGACUGUAAGGUGGUUUCGAGUGUGUUUUUGUUUGGCAACUUUUCACACAAAAGCACUUUUGGGAAGCACUUUAUGUAAUGUAAGUGCCUCUAAAAACUGUUUUAUGUAUUACUGCCAAAUGCAGUGCAGAGGUUACAAUGGGAGGGUCGGUUUUAUACCUGUUCUUCGAGACUUAAUUUCAAUAGGAGAUUGAAAUAUUUAUGAGAAUUAUGUUGUUAGCAGACUUAAUUCUUUUGGAGGAAUUCAUUCCAUCGUAGACCACUCAAUGAAUUUGGUCGAUUGAGAUUAUUUGAGUGCAUGCUUCAAAACUGGAGCAUUAAUUCUUUGACAUAAAUGGGCUUUAACAUAAGGCGCGUUCGCUUAUUCCAUUUAUUCAAGAAGUUGGCACUCAAUUUUUUAUUACUAGCCUUUAGAUGGCCAGCAGCCUUUUGUAGCCCUUUCUAGUUUCUACUAAAGUGGUUAUGUGCAAUAGUUCUAUUCUGGGUUGCAAAAUUAUUGUGUCAGUAGAAUCCACAUACAUUAUGUACUUUUCUGUAUUUAAUUUCAAGAGGCUUAGUUAUAUCAUAGUUUUAGGAUUAUAAUAAGUCUGUCCGUUACCAUGUUAUUGGAAUUUUUUUUUUUUUCUAAAUUAGUUGGACACAUUAUUGGAUUGGUCAAUAAAGGAAAGCAUUUGGCAAGUACUUGGUUUGAUAUUAACAUAUAGUUGCAGUAAAGCACAUUAACUUGUGCAUCCUGAAAUUCUUGCAGGCAAGUAAAGGCUUCUGAGGAUUCAUUGGUGGAGGGGUUUGAAGCUGAAUGGAAGCCUGAAAUCGGACAGUAUUCGAAGAAAUUUGUGGAAUAUUGCAGCAUAAAGGCUCUUACUAACAUGUGCCAGAGCAUAGAAGAAAAGAUUAGUGAUGGAUCAUUUAGUCGACUCACAUUUGAUAUGAUGCUUGCCUGGGAAAUGCCUAGUGCCGCCGAUGAGGAGUCUCAUACUGUAAGCAAUCAUCAUAAUACUCAUAUCCUAUAUUUAUUUCAUGGUCCACCAAAUCAUUAUGAUAUUAUCCCAAUUUUGGUGUGCCUAUCUUCUCUUCAAGUUGCUUCUUCUAUUUCUUUUUCAUUAUACAUUCUCUGGUUCUCAUCAGUUUUCGCUCCAAUUAAAAGAAGCAUGAAUUCUUUCACUUAUCUGCUGAAUCUGUUCUAAUGAUUGGGCAAUAGAUUUUUAUUCCUCUCUGUGGUUACUACUAUUUUGAUCUUGUGCAGGAGUGCAUGGGAAAGGAGAAUGAGGAUAGAAAGGCUGUAAAAGUCACUUCAGAUCAUGAUGAAAUUCCUCUCUUCUAUACAGACAUCAUGCCUCUUCUAGUAAGAGCGUCUCUUUCUGAUCAUUUGAGUGCUAAUGUACCGACCAAGCAUUAGCCUUCACUGAAACUCGUAUAUGAUUUCAUGAACAUUGAUUAAUUGUUAUUUUUGCUAACUACUCUAUGAGAUCUGAUCAAAUUAGAUAUAUAAAUGUUGCGAUUGAUCUUGGAUUUGCUUUAUAUUUGGCCAUCAAUUAUAUUUUACUCUUCAUUUUUAUAUUUGUUUGGUUUGAUAAUUUACCCUCUGGCCCAUAUAUAUGAUGGUAGGUUAAUAAUGAACCGAGUGUUGGAGAAGAUGCAUUUGUAUGGAUGGGAUCCUUAGUUCCUCUAGUUUCAGAUGUUAUUAAUGGGAGAUUUACAUAUGAAAUUCUGACAGCGCCAACAGGAAACCGGCUCCAUUCUCCAGCAUAUGAUAUAUUUCUAAAGGAGAUGGACAAGUAAUUCUUCCAAUUCUUCCAUGCAGCAAUUUUACCACUCAGAAACUUUAAGUGCCGUUUGGUUUUGUGACAUGCAAAUUAUCAUGGAACACUCAAAAUGAGUUGUUCUUAACAAUUUCUAGAAUUUGCAAACUCACUAACCAUAUCUGAAAAUGCAGAAGCAUUAUUACCACUUAUUGAUAACAAUAUCUCUGCUCGACUUGUUUGGGUGCUUUCAGCCGUUUUUCAUUUUCUUUUGGAAAUCUUGAUUUCAUAGAUGCAUAAAACAUUUGCAAAAACAAGCAACUCCAAAGGGUGUUGAGCUGGCUGACGAUGAAUUUAUACUGCAUGUGGAGGGAACUGCAAGCACACAGAGAGUAGUGCGCCAUAUUGGGAAAACAAGUUGGCCUGGUAUGUCUUUAGUUUGAUGUCUUACAUCUUUUUAACUGCUGUAGAAAUUGUUACUUGGAUUUUACUAAUCAUAAUUGUUGUCUCUAGGUAGGCUCACACUGACAAAUUAUGCGCUCUACUUCGAGGCUUCGGGAGUAAUAACAUAUGAAGAUGCUCUAAAGAUUGACCUCUCAAAAGAUGCUGAACUAUCUGUUAAACCAACUGCCACAGGUCCAUGGGGUGCUCCGCUUUUUGACAAGGCAAUUGUAGUCGAGUCCCCUGAACAGUAAGCAUAGUUGCACUUAUAUGAAAUUACUGGAGCUAUUAGCAUCGUUAUUCUUAUUUUAAAAAUUGUUAAAUGCUUGGUAGUUAUCCCAUAAGCUAGAUUUUAAAUGCAUAACAUACAAGGCAGACAUCAGAAAGCAUUCUGAUUCGUUUAUUAAAGUUUGUCUUUUAUUAAGCUAAAGAUAUUAAUGCUGCUAGAUUUUUCUAAUUUGGUUGUAGAUAUUGGUUAGUUACACUGUCAAAUGAGCAAAUCUCGUGGAUAUUUCAUAGUGUGGUUAUGCAAUUGUUUUUUGCCCUUCACUUUUCUAGAUCUGAGGGAAUUGUCCUGGAGUUUCCAGAGAUAACUAGCUCGACAAGGCGUGAUCAUUGGCUGGCCCUCACAAAGGAGAUAAUGUUAAUGCACAAAUUCCUGUCAAAAUUCAAGGUGGAAUGUCCAAUACAAGCAUGGGAGAUGAAUGCAAGGACAAUACUUUGCAUCAUAAGACUCCAUGCAGCAAGAGAAAUGCUGAGGAUAUUGCCUCCAGAUCCCACAAAAUUCUUGAUUUUUGCUUUGUAUGAUGAGUUGCCAAAGGGAGACUACGUGCUAGAAGAGCUUGCUGAGAGUCUGAAGAAAGUUAAUUGUGGACAUCCUUCCAGUGCUAGCUCAAUUCUGAGAUGUAUGAACCUGUCAAUUGCCGCAAGUGGAGAAGUAAAAGAAGGAAAAGAACUGGAGGAACAUAAACAUAUAAGUGAUGAAAGCUGUUCAUCACUGGAAACUGCCAUCAAUCAAUCUAAAGAGCAAGCAAAGGCAAUUGAAAUUGCUAAGUCUACCACUGAGGGCCUGAAAGAUGAAGGGAUCAGUGAUAGUAUCCUUGUUCUCUUGGUAUGUUUUUACUUCCAAAUUGUUGUUUAUGCUGCUGAUUUUAUAUUGACAGAAUAAGUAAUGACAUCUCAACAAAUCAUGGUAUUGAGAGCUUGUUUGACAUUUAUCAAACACAGCAAAGAAAUUGAAUUUUAUGAAAUUCCUAUAGCACCCUAUAAUUUGUACCAAAAAAUCUCUGCACCUUUGGCAUGCUGUAUGGUAUGGAAGUAUAGCUGUCUCAGAGAGGUUACUGUUAUUUACUUUAUUUGGUUUUGUAGUAUUGAUGUUAAGUUUGAUUUAAUAAUGUAGGAGCUACUAAAGCCACUUAAAAGUGUUUUACCCUGGAUUCGAGAAGUUGUUUCAUGGGAAAAACCAGCAACCACCCUCACUGUGAUUGCAACAACUCUACUAAUAGUGUACAAGUAAGUCAGUGCUCCCUCGUAAUUUUCUUAUAUACGGAAAUUUUUUUGAAAGUGCAUGUUGAUCAAGAACCACUUCAUUACUUGGCCUAUUAAUGUGUAAACUUUGCAAAUGACUAGUAAACUAUAUAAUGGCAAUGUAGGGAGUGGGUAGGCCAGGCUAUAGCUGCUUGUUUGCUCACCAUCGUGGUGAAGAUGCUUCAGGCAAGAAAAAAAAGGUUGACAGACAAAUGCAAUGAGAUAGUAGUAUGCACUGCUUCAGAUCAGAGCACCGUGGAGAGCAUUGUGUCGGCUCAAUACAGUUUGAUAACUAUUCAUGAGAUGUUGCAGGCAGCAAACAUUAUGAUUUUGAAGAUAUGGUCGAUAUUAAUUUCAAAGGCCCGCAAGGUACUCAUUUUGAUAACCUAUGCUUUCAGCUUAGCAAUUAAAUAUCGUUUUCAAUCAAUAUUGCUUAUUCGUCGUUAGCUGAAGUUCGUUUACCUACUACAUUUGUUGGAUGUCUUCAAUUAUUGAGGAGUCUUAGUUGCAUUUCCAAAUUGUUCUAAAUCCUCGUUUCAUUUAAUGGGUUGCAGCAUGCGGACACGGUUAUGGUGGCAUUGACUGGGUUAGCAAUAGUAUUAGCAGUUGUUCCAUUCAAGUAUAUUGUCAUGGGAGGUGUGCUGUACGGCUUCAUUAUGAACUCGAAGCCAAUGAAGUACCUGGGAAACAACUCAAACGACCAAAGCGGCAACAGACGUCUAAAAGAAUGGUGGGAGUCAAUCCCUAUUAUUCCUGUUCGCGUCGUGGACAAGCUUCCUGAGUGCCCAAAAUAAUGUGUCGGCUCCUGCACAAUCACAGUUGCCUAAAUCCUCUGUUUCUGAACUUUUGUUAUCAACUUACUGCACGAUAUACACUUCUGAGUUUGCUUUUGCCAUCAGAGUAGAACUGUAUCUGAAACACAGCAUACACUUAAAUGCUCAUUACAAAUUUGGAGAAAAGCACAAGUAGAAAAGGAUUGAAGACAUUCAGUAACGUUGAAAUUCUGCAUUUUCUUUAAUUUUUGUUAUGAACAAGUUUCUUAAUUAUUUGUUCUCUUGAUGUAAAAUAGCAUAUUGCUGGGAGUAAUGAAGAUGUGACUGUGCUUUUCCUAUUAGCAUGUUAAUAAAAGCAAAAUGGAAAAUUAUUAGUUACGUCCUCUCGUUUUGCGGCUUAUUGAGCUAACAAGUAACUUCUUCAUUACUAGCGUGCAAGUUUGCAACUAGUGAAUCUCAAAUAUAACUCUACCCAAUGGAUGGAUGUACGAUGGAUGUACCUACCCAAUCAUUUAUUUCUCAUUAAAUCUGUUAAAACAGAAAAAGUCCCGACGUCAUAUUCUUCGCGCCUUUUAAAAAACGACACGUGUCGUAUCCCACUACUCGCGUGCUGGAAACUUUAACCCACUCUGACUGCGUGACAGCAGAUCAUUCCCAAUUCAUUUCAGUUUCACUGUCACUUUCACUCCUCCUCAGGCGCCUUCCGACAAACAGGAAGAAUGCAAACUUGAAAACCCCCAAAAACCCUAACGUUCCCCCGGAGACCCUAACCCACCAUAAACCCUGGCUCUUAAUCCUAGCCACUAUGAGCGACCAAGACGAGCAAUCGCGAGCUCAGAAAGCCGCCCAGUUAACAAGUCCGCUCUCAUCCUCUCUCUCGAACCUUUCUUCUUCUUCAAGAAGCAUCCCCUCUAAUCAAGAUUUCCAUUUCUUCUACAAUUUCCCUGAAUUCAAUCAACCCGUCCAAGAAAUCGCGAACCAAUCGCAGCUCCUCCUACAAUCCAUCGGCUCAUCGGAGAUUUUUAACCAACCGAUCAAUUUUCCUGAUGAGGUUGACAUCUCGGACGCCUACGACUGGCUUGUCGACGUAAACGACAACGUUUUCGAGCGUAUGGAUGUUUCUUUCGACGAAUUUAGUAAAGUAAGAGGGGAAAAUGGGGAAGGAGAUGGAAAUGAAGGUGGCUUUCAGUUGGUUUAUGGGAAGAACAAGAAGAAGGGCGACAUUGUGGGUGGCUCUGCCCCGGCCAGUGUGAAAGUGAAGGACAGGAAAGAGAAAAGCAAGGUGCCGUUUCAUAUAUCGACUAUAACAAAACCGCAAGAGGAGUACAAGAUAGUUGUGAACAAUGCGAACCAGCCGUUUCAGCAUGUUUGGUUGCAGAAGAUUGAGGACAGUGGACGGUUUAUCCAUCCUCUUGUAAGUUUGUUAUUUUUUGAAUAUUUUGAUAUUGGAUUUGACUUACUGGGUUUGUUAAAUUUGUAAUCUGAAAAUAGUACCUUUCUUAGGGACUUUUUAGUGAUCAAUUAUUUCUUUCAUUUUCUUUUUGGGUGGUUUGUGGUAUAUGUUUACGCUUAUCUUGUUUGGAAUUUGUGUGCAAUUCUUAUUAUUCAUGCGAGAAUUUUAACACUAUCAUGUGGUUCAUGCUUGCCAAAAAUAUACCAAAACACUUUUGCUUAUUGCUAUUGCUUUAUUUGUACAGGACAAUCUUUCUGUUUUGGAUUUUGUUGAUAAAGAUAUAGGGGAUGUGGAACCUGUAAAACCUCCCUCGUUGGAGCAGACACCAUUCAAGCUUGUGGAAGAAGUUAAAGAUUUAAAGGAGCUAGCUGCUAAAUUGAAGAGCGUAGAUGAGUUUGCGGUAAAGUCUGACUUCUGUGAUUAUGUUUUAUUGAUAAAUAAUGCCGUGGUUCAGCCUUACUGCAGUAGUUUCUUUUUUUCAGCCUUUUGAUUUCUCUUUUCUGAUGGGGCAUUUCAUAUACAGAACUGAACACUGUCCUAUGUAGAGGAUAUAGUGUAGUUAAGGCACAUGUCACCGAUGUCAGCUACUUCAAAAUUAUAUAGUGCUGGAUGUGGUUUAAGCCAAUAAGACAAGAAAGGGGUGUGGCCGCCUAUGAAGAUACAUACAAAUAUGUUAAUAUUCGAAACAUAUACAAAGAAAUGUGCCUGUAAUAGUUUUCCUGUCUACGUAAAGUAGUAAACCAGCUGUCUAUUUAAUCUUGAUACAAGUUUUGCAUGUUUAAAAAAUUAUCUUUCAUCUUUAACAGUGAGUCCAUUUUUAGCUGUAAUCCUUUUCUCAAGCAUGACUUGGUUUUGCUUUCGUUUUCAUCUCAACAGUAAACCUGUUUGCAACUAGAAAACAUUGUAAUUUUUUUGUAACUUUUCUCUAGGUCGACUUGGAACAUAAUCAAUAUCGAUCUUUCCUAGGAUUGACUUGCCUGAUGCAAAUUUCCACCAGAACCGAAGAUUUUGUGGUAGAUACGUUAAAGCUUCGCGUUCAAGUUGGGCCAUAUCUUAGGGAAGUUUUUAAAGAUCCUACCAAGAAAAAGGUUGGUCCCUUCAACAUGCUCUCGCGUAGCUUUGUGAUAAAUCUUAUUUUUUCCCCCCCAAAUUAUGUUAACUUUUACUUUACUAGGUGAUGCAUGGAGCAGAUCGAGAUAUUGUGUGGCUUCAACGGGACUUUGGCAUAUAUUUGUGCAAUAUGUUUGACACAGGACAGGUUUUAUCCCUUGAAACUCUCUUUGAAAUUUGAGACUUUAUUGAUGAUCUUGUCUGGUUUUUUGUACAAUGGUUAAAUUUAUCUUAUCUUAUCUGCUUUUUUGUGGUCUAAUUUAUGAGUGUUGAUGCAAGCCUUUAUUCUACUAAAUUAGUUAAAUUGAGUUAUCUUUUGAUACUGUAUUUUCAAUUUUGUAAUUCAUCUUAUGUGUUUGAGUCAAGGUUUGGCUUCAAAAAGCCUUGUCAGUUACAUGUCAUCUCUCCCUUAAUUUUUUCAAAGUAGCUUCGCUUGUCAUUUGAACUAUUUGUAUCAUUAUUUUCAAUUUUGAUGUGGAACUUCCCCCAUUUAUUAAUGUUCUUUUGGUUGUUUUUGUGUAAUGCUCUUUUGUAAAUUUUACCGUGGCAUUUAUUUUGUUUUGCAUUUCAAAUAAUAGUGAGAAUUGCUUUUUUCAGUCCUAAGUUUAUUGGUUUAUUGUAAAUAUACUGUAUAUUUAUUUUGGUUUGCAUUGGGAGAUGAUCGUGGGAAUUUGUUUCUGUCUUUUCAUAAGGCCUCAAGAGUCUUGAAAUUGGAGAGAAAUAGUUUGGAGUAUCUUCUACAUCACUUUUGUGGAGUUAAUGCCAACAAAGAGUGAGUCCUUUUGUAAAGUACCUGAUCUGUUUCUCCUUAUAGUUUCCGCCCUUCAUCAUCCUAAGUCAACUCAUUGCAGAUACCAGAACGCAGAUUGGAGAGUACGUCCUCUUCCCGACGAGAUGCUGAGGUACCUUUGGUUCUCUUUUUAUCUUCUUUGUAACCUACUUUUCUAAUGAGUUCUCCAAAAAAAAAAAAAUUAUGAUCUGUUUGGCAUGAAAAUAAUUACUACUAUUUUAAAGUUCUUGUAUUCUUUGGAAAAGCAGAAAUCAUAUAUCAUCAUUUAAGUGUUUGGGGUUUCAUCUUUGCCUGUAUUUUUGUAGAAACUAAUAAUAUUUUUUUUUCUGUGGCUUAGGAUUUGAAUUGUGGGAAUAUCUAUGUUGGAAAUUAAUAAUGAGUGCACAUUGACUCUUGAUAGUGGACAAAUAUUUGGACAGCCAGGAAGGGGAAGGCCAACAAAAGUUUUGGGUUUUUAUAAGUUGAAGUUAUGAAUGGUUUUAUAAUUAAUUAGGUAUAGGUUUCCUCAUUUGGGUAUUUCUGGGAGAUCUGGGUUAUAAGAUUGAGAUAUUCCAGCCUGUAUAGAUAAUUGUAGGGUUGCCUGUGUUUGUGAUAUUCCAGCGCGUUUAUUAUUACUACUUCUUAUAUAUAUAAAAUUUUAGACUCUUUCCAUGUCUAACAAGAAGUUUUCAUGAUAUCACUUGGAUCCUACUCAUGCAGACUUGUAAGGCAUCCUUAGGUGCGGUUAUGUGAUCUGGUUUUUAUAAAUAUUUUUAAAUUUUUUGUCAGAGACAAUGCCUGUAGUGACAAUGUACUGACUUAUCUUUUGGUUAUUACCAAGCUGAAUCAGGUUGCCUGUGGUUUAUGACCAUACCAUUUGGUCUUAUAAAAUGUUCUUCCCUUCACCUCAUGUUCUCAUACUUUAAAGCAUGAAUAAUAUCUAAGGGCCUGAGAUUAUUUCAUUAAUUUUUCCCAAGUCUAGAUCCUUCCCAGAGAAAUGGAUGGAUUACCCACACACUCACCAGUAACAUGUCGUACUUUAUGACGGUUUUGCAUUACUGCUGUAUGUCAUUUAAUUUGCCCUUUUGAGGAUUCUUUAUUUUCUCUGGGCUGAUGUUACUUUGUGGUGCUUUUUUUUCCUAUUUAGUCAAAAUAUAUAUUCAUCAUAGAGUUUCUCUGUUAGAAUUUUCUUAGCUUUGAGGAUUCGUUAGUGGCAUAUCAUCCAAUUGAUUAUACUUGUGAUGACAGAUACGCUAGAGAAGAUACACACUAUCUGUUGUAUAUAUAUGAUAUAAUGAAAAUCAAGUUGUCCUCAAUGCCCAAGGAGUCUGAGAAUUCUGAUACUCCCCUGACAGAGGUAUGAUUUUUGCUUAACUGUUGGUGUUGUUUUGUAAAACUGUUGGGCAUCUCUAUGAUUAUAGAGAAUCCAUUUUUAAAUGCUUUUUUCAGAUCUUGUUGUGCCAUGUAUGACAGACCAUUGCGUCUGGAGAUUGGCAUGGAGCUUAAUAAUUACAAUGUUAAAAAUAGAACAUAAAAUAUUGGGAAGUAUCUAUCAUGACUAAUUCUUCAACUGUUUAAGGAAGAUAGUUUAAAUCCGAAUAUCCUUUUUUGGAUUGUGGACUAAAGAAAAUUGUCAACUCUUGAUUUCUCUUCCCAAGGAUGAAGACGUAUCAGUCUGUUGGCAAACACAUUUUUUGAAUUUUACUUUAGUUAUCUAUAAUUUUACCAUAUUGAGCAAACAUUUUGUUGCAAACAGGUCUACAAGCGCAGUUAUGACGUAUGCAGGCAGCUGUAUGAGAAGGAGCUUCUGUCAGAAAAUUCUUAUCUCCACAUUUAUGGGUUUGUCUUUGUCCCUAUUCAUCUCAGUUUAAGUUUUCAUUUAGUGGCCUCGCCUGUUUAAAAUCUUCUCUCAUACAGUUUUUGUUUGUUUCAUUCUUUACUUAGCAUUACUUCUCUUGUUUAAUUUUAGUUCUAUUUUGGACUUCGUAUUUAUGUGAUUUGACAGAACUUAAUCAGUGGAGCUUAUUUCUCUAUGUUGAAAUAGGUUGCAGGGGGCUGGUCUCAAUGCUCAGCAGCUUGCUGUUGUUGCGGUAUGUCAGUUCUUCAUGUGUUUUUCAAACUUUGCCACUUUUCUAUCUGGAUAUUAUAUGCAUGAGGAUGCUACUGAAAAUGUAUUAUCCGCAUGUUUUGUUUACUAGUUGCAUCUUCAAAUGAAACAAAGUCUUGACCCAGAAGAAUCCGUAACGCACCAAUAGUCACUAAUAGGAUUGUCUUGAGAAAUUUACUUCUAAAUUUUUGAGUGGAUGAUAGAAGGGUGGAUUUUAAGUAGCUGACACAUCAUUGCCAACUGCUGAUAGAGUCUGUUGCAUACUUGAGUAUUCUUGCUAGUUCUGGCCCCAUUGAUCCCACUUCAAUGAUUUGCAGGGUCUUUGUGAAUGGCGAGAUGUUAUUGCUCGUGCAGAUGAUGAAAGUACUGGCUAUGUAUUGCCAAACAGAACUCUGAUUGAAAUUGGUAGAAACCUGUCUGAAUUUCCUCCAACUCUCUCUUCUAUAUGUAUAUAAUCCAUUUGGUGAGUUAUGAGUUAAUCAUAUUUUCCUUUUGUGGUAAAAGCCAAACAGUUGCCUACUACUGCUGCCAAGUUACGUCGAUUGUUGAAAUCAAAGCACUCAUAUAUUGAACGCUAUAUGGGUCCGGUACUUAGCAUCAUAAAAAAUUCUAUGCAAAAUGCUGCUAAUUUUGAAGUCAUUGCUCAAAAAUUGAAAGAGGAACGUAUGGAAGUGGUAAGACCUGCAUGCUCAUGUUUGAUUGUUUUGUUAUAUCAGUGAUCCAAAUUGAUUAUUUUUCUUUGAGAAUUUGAUGUUAAUGCCUUCAAUGGAUUGCCAACAUACAUUGAUUUUCUUUUUCUUUUCCUUGGAUUUCGUUAGAAUCAGACCAACCAUCUUUUAAACGAGGAUGAUGGUCCAAAACCUUAAGGUCUACUACGAUGAAUUGCUACUUUUUGUGCAAGUUCUUGUAAUUCACUCAGCUGGUUGUCUUCGGCAAAUGAAAGGAAAAAGGAAAUUCAUCCAAUCCAGUUCUAUUGAAGAAAAAGAAUCCUAGUUGAUCUUACAAAAUUAAGCUUUCAUAAUUUGUUAACCCAUGGAAUGUGAUUAAAACUCAUGGACAAAGGAUGUUCCAGUUGAGAAAGGGAUUUGAGUGAUUUUUAGCAAUUAUCAGUGAUGUCUUCAUUAGAAGUAAGUUUAUGGUUUAUAGCAGUAAAUGCUCAAUAAUUAGGUACUCCUUGUAUAUUGGCUGACCGGGUCCCAUGUUUGUAGUAGGUUUUGUGAGCUACAGAGGAUUAACUUCAGUCAGUUUUCCAUGUUAUGGCUGUUAAGAGCUAUGUCACCAUUUUUCUUUGUUUACAUCAAACUAAUCUUUUUUUUUCCCCCCAUUUUUCCUUAUUUGUGUAGGCAUCAGAAGAAACUGAAGUUUUAGUUCUUGAUACUUCCUCAAACUUGAAAAUUCCGAAUGUUGGAAGGGAGAGUGUUGAUGGUGUUGAUGCAUUAGUUGGUACCACGAUGCCUCACCCACCAGCUUACACCCAGCUGAAACAAGAGCCUCCAAAGGUUGGAAGCAGUGUCGCAGAACUUGACAGAAAUGGACUAGGGUCUUUUGCGCAUCCUGGAGAAGCAAUUGCUUCAGAAAAUAAAGAAGCUACUCAUAUUUCAACACUUUCCAGCUCUGGUCAAAGUAGAGACUUGAAUGCUUGCAAGUCACCUUCACCAAGGGUUGUGAAUUUGAUGCCUUAAUGUGGAUUUUUUUUUUUUUUGGUUAAGAGGUUUAGCAUUCAAUUUCUUUUUCUUUGGUUGUGAAUUUGAUGCCUUAAUGUGGAUUGGAUUUUUUUUUUUUUUGGUUAAGAGGUUUAGCAUUCAAUUUCUUUUUCUUUAUAGGUUACUGAAGCUGCUGUUCAGGCUCUAAAGAAGCCGAACCGUGGUUUUGGAGCACUGCUGGGUAACCCAAAGAGAAAGUUUGAUGGCGAGAAAAAGGUGAGUUAAUCAUUUGCUAGUAAUGGUUGUUAAACAUCUGCUAUGUCAUUGUCACAUAGCAAAAUAACUAUUUCUGAGGCCUGCCAGUCACCCAGUUUGUGCAUGUGUGGUUGGGAAGAAGGCAACAAAGGAAGAAUAUAGUUAAACAUUUGCUAUGUUAUUCUUACAUAGCAAAAUAACUACUACUGAGGCCUGCCAGUCAGCCAGUCUCUGCAUGUUGGUUGCAAAGAAGGCAACAAAAGAAGAAUGUUUUUUUUUUUUGAAUCUUCAUUCCAUGAUUCACUUUCUUUUCAAUUUUUCUUGUCAACUAGCAUGUACAUUUGCCUUCUUGUUGCCUUUUUCGUUGCGUGAGUCAUUAUGAAUUAUGAUUUAUAUUAUACGGAAAUUGUGAGUGGGCAACUGUUGGGCUAUAAUCAAACAUGCAAAAUUUCGGGUCCCAUGACUAAGCGCUGCUAUCAUCUGGAUUUGUGUGUUGUUGCAUUUUAUAUUUGGUUAACACCCUUCUUAUUAUCCUCCUUUUGAUUGUUUGUUUGUCUUAAUUAGGACAAGGAAGCUAUGAAACUAGAGCAGAUUAAAUCCUCAGUCAAUCUUCCAUUCCACUCAAUUUUUGCAAGAGAUGAACAGUUAAAACCAGUUGAUGUGAUGAAGUCUGAACCAAAUAAGCCUGACAUUCCAUUUCCUUCAUCUUUUGGUAGUGGGCAACAAACGAAACCAAUCAUAGAGGAAUCCAAUAGAGUUACAGUAGUUUCCCAAUCAGAAGAACCCGCUCCGGCUGCUAGGUCUGAUACAGAAGAUAUUAUUACGUUGGAAGAUGAUAUAGAUGAAGAGGAACAAAACCUUGGUAAUUUGGAAACUGCAAGUGCGCCCGGAGAGGACGGUUCUGCAGGGUCUGCUUUGGAAAUGGGUAAACAAGAUGAGACCAUGUCUCUCUCUGAUUUAUCAACUAGUUUCCAGGAGUGCUUCCACUCUGCUAACAACAAUAGAAAACCUGGAAAGCCUGAGAGAUCUGAAGAACCUAGUGGUUUUUUGCAGCUUAAGCCGUUUGACUUCGAAGCAGCUAGGAAACAGAUCGAGUUUGGAGAAGAUGCCAAAGAAAAAUCAGCUGGGGUUGAUGGAAACAAAAGAAAACCAGUGAACUCUGGAGAUAAGAAAAAAGUUUCAGCUGUAGAUCAAGCUCAAAAAGAUGAUGGAACAAAAGAACUGUCACAAGGUAGACGACGUUCUGCUUUUCCUGCAACUGGAAAUCGAAGUGCAACAUUUCGCUGAGUCUCUGGUAUCAAUCAUGCUGCUCUGUGUAGCAGAAAUUAGUUGAAUUUUGGAUUUUCACAAUCAUGUUCUUGAUUUAAAUGGAAAUUAAUGCUGGUGGACAAAUUCGCAAUGGUUGUACGUAUAUUUCCAUUGCUUGAGGUCUUGUCUGAUACAGCAUGAGCUAACCUGAUCAUCUUUUGAUAUUCAGUAACAGGAGAGAUGUAUGGUCUGCAGGAGCCAAUGAUGGGCAAGUGAUACCUGAGGCCGGUGUCUAUUUGAAGGUAAAAUGGGCGAUGGUUCUAGGUUUCAUAUUAGGUUUUUGAUAGUCUUGAGUAAUUGCCCUACUAUCUUCAUAUUUAAAAAACAGGAUGGUUUCAAACCAAAGUGCGGUUUGUAAUCAAAAGCAUUUGAUCUUUUUGUUUUUGUAACUUUACGGGUUUUAUUUUUAGAAAAAUGGUUCUGUACUAUGGUUUAUUUCUGCCUUAUUUGAUAUUGUGGUCAUCUUAGGCUUUAUUUAGUGUAAUUUUUCAGUUAUAUGUUCGUUUGGGAAGAGGAAAUGAAGUUAAUUUUAUUUCACACUUGCAUAAGAAAAAAUUGUAAUGUUUAUAUUAUUUUUGUUAAAAUUAUUAUUUAAAAAUUAUAUUUGAUAUCUAUUAAUAAUUUUUAUUAUAAUUAUAAUUUUCUUUUUCCUCCAUCAUCUCAAUUGCUUAUAACUGCUGUUGAGGAUGGUUGGUGCGAUGUUAAUAAUUUGUAAAGGGCUUAGUAACAUCUGGUUCCGUGAUGUCGGCCAAACCAUAUCGAAGGGCUUAAUUUGACGGUCAUCGGGGCCUCCUGCCCAGCUGCCCUCCUUUACGGAUUCCGCUUCCGCAAAUUAUUUUAUAUAAACUGUUGUUACAUGAUAGUGGUGGCCGGAUGAAAAUACUACAUGACCAUAUAAUGCUUUCGGUGCAAUGAGUGAAAAAGAGAAAUUUUUAUGUAUUCUCGGAUUGAAGGAGAAAUUUUAAGAUUAAGAUUGUGGAGUGGUAGCAGGAGUAAAUUAUUUACUUACAUCACUAUGAGAGUGUGGAACGAAAAUUAGAAAUUAUGUAUUUUCUUUGUCUUAGAUUGAGAGUGAAUCAUUUUAAAUUAUAAUUUUAUCCUUAUUUAAAGAAUUGUAGUUUUUAAUUAUAAAGUAAAUAAAAAAAUAUAUUUGCACAAUAAAUUAUUUAUUUUGUUAUUAAUUUUAAUUAUAUAAAUUAAUAAUAAUUAUUAUUAUUCUUAAUCAUGUGAAUCAUGAUUUUUUUGUUAAUUUUNNNNNCGUACAGCAGAAAUAAAUAUGAUAUUUUUAUUUUUAAAUAAAUGUGAUAUUAUUUUUAUUUUUAUCAAUAUAAUUAUAUUAUAUUCAAUAAGGAAAUGAUAAAAAGAAAGAAGUGGGAGUAGAUUUCUACUUUUUAUUCAAAAACAAAAAUGAGACCCACAGAGUAGAAGCCUAACUCUCCUCCUUAGAUGAGUACUAAAACGUUUAAGUAGGAGAAAUUCAUAUUUUUGACUCCCACUCUACAAAGUAAACAUAAUAAUAAUAUCAUAAUAACAUUUGAUAAUUCUAUAUAUUUGUGACGUCAUAUCUCAUCAAUUGAUUAAUAAAAUUAAAUGGUGAUUAUUUAUGAAAGAACAAAAUUAAUUCAUGUGAGUUAUGGUUAAUAAAUAAAUAAAAUAUAAAAUGUUAAAUUUUGACUAUAAACUAAUUUCAAUAUCUAAUAAUUUAAAAGCUCAAUAGAGCUAUGAUAAAAACUAAAGGGAGGAUUCUUAAUCCGAUCCGGGAUCUUAAUCAGUUCAGGACCGAUCCACUUCCAGCUAUUACGCGUCAAACAUCCAUUUGACGAUUGACGUGUCACGCCAUCUCACUGUCCUCACAAGAAAACCCGUUACCUUCAAAAUGCUCCAAACCCAUCAACGCCGAAUUCAAAUCAAGCCCCAAGACCAAAUACAAAGCAAAAACAAAUAAACAAACGUCUGUUCAUUCAGUCUGAAAAAAUCAAAAGAAGUAAAAGGAUUGGCGAUGGCGAUGGCGGUUGAAGGAGGAGGGACAUUAUCGGAGAUAUAUCAAAGUGCGAAGAAGUUGCUGUUGAGAGCGAGAGACGGAGUUGAGAAACUGGAGAGACUGGAGAGCUCGACGUCGACUGGGGGAUACGAUUCGCCGGAGCUCUCCUUCGCUGUCAAGAAAGAUAUUUCUCAGAUCCAGUCACUCUGCGUCGAGAUGGAUCGCCUAUGGCGCUCCAUCGCCGACAAGUCUCAGCGCGAUCUCUGGAAGAGGUACCUAUUCAUUUACUGUUUUGCCACGUGGCACCGAAUCAACCUUGUGUCGUGUCCUAAUUGCUCUACGCCAGUUCGGUUGCAAUUCUGUGCAUGAACCGCAAUUUUUAUACUGAAUAUUACAUUAUUGAUUUUGUCUGAGCGACAAGGCAUGCUUCCACGUUUACUUGUUGCUUAGUUUUAUUGUUUUGCCUUCUAUGUUAACAGUCUAUAUAAGUUUUAUAUGUGUUACAGGCAUGUGUAUAUAUGGAAGUACAUUAAUAGCUGUUCAUGCUGUUGCUUGCUUGAGGUCGUUGGUAUAUUUGCAUUUGGAACUAAAUGUGCUUGGUGUGGGUUCGCUAUGUGUGUGUGUGUGUGUGUGUUUGUUUGCGUUUGAUGUUAAAUGGAAUUACCUUCUAUCGAGUCAGUGCCGCAAUUUGAUUGCUUGGUUUUUCAGAGGUGUGUUUUUAUGUUAUGUCAUGCAGAAAAGUUGAACAAGUAGCAGAAGAGGCUGAAUCAUUGAAAGAGAGUCUCGAUAAGUACUUUUUAAGAAAUCAGAGACGGAUAAAUGAAGCUAGAGAGAGGGCGGAAUUGCUUGGAAGAGCUGUAUGUUUAUUCAGUUUUCGUUAGAAGUUUUGAACGGAUUCUGUAGUGUUUUUCUUGUCUGGAAACGAGAAUUAGCUUUCCAAUCUGAUGAAUUUCUUUUAUGUUAUAGAAUGGAGAGUCGUCUCAUAUUUUGAGAAUUUUUGACGAGGAGGCGCAAGCAAUGCAGUCAGUACGCAAUUCAUCGAGGAUGUUGCAAGAAUCGUUUGCAACUGGGACAGCCAUUCUUGCCAAAUAUGCAGAACAAAGGGAGCAUCUAAAGGUAUUGACACUUAAGCUCCUUGUUUACAUGCACAGUUGCACACUAGAAAUUUUUGCCAAGCUCACUCAAACUGUGUGCAAACAAAGUUCACUAAACAGGGUCAAAUGAGAAAUUUACAUUCUUGUCAUGGUUGUAUUCUUAACAUGAUUAAAUAUUUAAAUGAGAACAAUGUUAGAUCCUCAAAGCAAUUAUCUUUAAUAUUGAUUUAUACUACUGCUAUAGAAAUUAUAAGUGUUUGCAGCACCUGCACAAAUGGCUGCAGAGAAUUUAGUCUGUCUAUGGUAAUAAUUUUAAAAGCUGGUAACUCCAAAUAUUCAACAGUGGCUGACAAAAACAAUCCUCAAGUUUUAAAGUAAAAGCAAACUUUGCUUUGAAAUAAUCAGUGACAACAAUGACGUGAAAGUGUCACCAACUGUUUAUAUAUAAUAUCUCCAAUAUUCCAGAAUUUAGUUUCAUAAUGGCUGGCAAAGACUUGGUUUUUUUAAGGUUUAAAGUAAAAACGAUCUCUGCUUUGAAAUGUUCAGUGGCAACAGUGAUGUAAAAUGAUCAGCAACUGUUCAUAUCUAGUAUCUCCAAUGUUUAGAAUUUUGUUUAAAAGAUCCGUUCCAUCCAUAAAAAAAUUUCAUUCUGAAUAAGCAACUCAAGAUUACACUUCGCAAGAACACACCAUCUACCAUUUCUCACAAAUUUAAAUGUCACAACCUAUGAUCCAUUACCAAUUGUGAGAAACGGCAGAUUAUUUGUUCUAAUGAAGUGUAAUUUGAGUUGCUUAUUUAAAAUGAAAUUCUUUUAUGGGUAGAAGGGAACUUCUAAACGAAGUUCUAGGAAUCAAAUUAGCUGUUUAGAUUUGAAUAGUUGGUGAUGCUUUGAUGUCACUGUUGCCACUGAUUCUUCUCGAAAAGAAACAGAUUUUUAAAUGGUAUUAUAGAGGUCACAGAAAAAAAAUAGUCAUGCUAUCAUUGAUAGCACUUGCCACUGAUGUUGAUAAUGAGUUUAACUGAUUAACUUCCAUCUUUGGUUCAGAAAGCACAAAGGAAAGCUCUGGAUGUUCUCAACACUGUGGGUCUGUCCAAUUCAGUAUUGAGGCUCAUUGAGAGGAGGAACCGUGUCGAUACAUGGAUCAAAUACGUAGGAAUGGUUUCUACAGUGGUCAUCUUAUAUUUCUUCUGGAGGUGGACUAGGUGAUCCGAUCUUCAUACUUAGCCACGCAUAGAUCAUUAAUCCGCAUACUUUGGAAUGAUUAAGUUUUGUUCUUGAUAUUUGCCCCAUAAGAGGGUUAAUGAGGAUGUACAAGGCAUUCUUUGAUGAGAGACUAUCCUCUUAUGAGGAUGUAUAAAGCAUUCUUUGUUAAGAGACUAACUCGUAUAGGACGGACUCCCAAAGAAGGUUCUUUGCAAUUCUUGAACAUUUAGAGCGAAGUUGACGAAACGUGCUAGUUGUUUUUGUAUUUUGGCAAAAGGGGAAUUACAGAGUUCGAAGAUUCUAAGAAAUGCGCCAAUUUUGUUUUGUUGUCAGAACGCAAAAACGGCCUGAUUGUGGACGGUUAAAUCCGGAAUUAUGUAGUGGAUUUGCAGUUAUUGAAGGGCAUGCUUGGGAAAAUAAUAUGGUCAAAUAAAAUCAAGAACAAUUAUAUUGUAUCUGCUGUUUAUGCGUCCGUACUUGAAGGUGUCCACGUGGCUGGUGUGUGUUUGUUAAACCAGUAAAAUUAAGUAGUGCGAAGUUCUGAUCGCCGCUCAUUGAUUGUUUUUUUUUUUAACUUUAAAUAAACUAUGAGAAAAGGCUUUGAAUGAGUCGCAGAUAAAUUAAAGUUUUUUUUUUCUUCUUCUAAAUUUAUAUCCAAUGGUUCGGCACAUGUUAUUUUCUUUAUUUUUAGUGCACACGGUAAACUAUUGAUAGUAUUUGGUGUAAACUCACUUUCAAAUCGAUGCUUCACGAAAAGUCCAAAUGACGCGCUAUGAAAGUAAUAUAGAUAACUAGGAUAAGUGGAAAUGAUAAACGAAUAAAAUGAAGUAAAAAGAAUUUUUCAUUUUUAAGGGUUACAAAAUAAGAAUAGUUAAUUACUUAAUUAGUUGACUUGCUAAAAAUUUUUCAUGCAAACAAAUGGUCUGGACUGGAAUCCGUUUAAAUGGAUAGGAAGAAAAUUAGAGUGUCGUAAAAGUACUGGAGUUUCAAAUCCCCUCACGUAGUCACAAGGAUUAGAAGAAAAUUGAAUUGUUAGGCAAAAUGAAAAAAAAGAAAAAAGCUUAACAUUUUUAUUUUCUAAAAAAAUGUUUUUCUUAGUUGUUUUGUUUUUUAAUUUUAAAUAUAUUUAAAAUUUUGAAAUUAAUAAAUGACUUUGAAAACUUGAGUGUGCUCGAGCCUCGAGAUCUACUCAAAUUCUUUUACAUUAUUACAUUAUGAAAAAUUGUAUGAUGUCGUGAUUAAACUAUUGUAUCAAUACUAUGAUAAACAUAAAUUUUAGAAAUUAUAUAUAAGACUAGUAAGUGAAAUGUAAAAUAAAUUAAUUAAUAUAAGAGUGGUAAAUAAUGUUUUAAAAUUAUAAACAAAACAAACACUUAUAAAAAUAACAUAAAAAUUAUAAAUCAACAUUAAAUUUUAAUGUAAAAAUAGUUUAUUUAUUUAAUUUAUUCAAGCAAAGAAAAACUUUACUCAUCAAUUGAAAACAAAAAUUUUGUAUUGAAAACAAUGGGAAUAAGUUUUAUUAAUUGAUUUAACCAUGAAUUUUAUAUUCAUGUCAGGAUAUUUAUAAACUGUUUUUUUUUUUCAUUUUCUAUCAUAGUAUUUGUUUACUAUACAAGUUGAUUAAGUAAACUUAUUAUUAUUAUUAGUAUUAUUAUUAUUAUUUAUGUGGAUCAAGCCAAAACAAAAUAAAAAUACAUUUGAAUAUUACUAGACAUAUAUGGAAUAUUAAUACAAUUGAAUCUAACUUUCAGUUUUAUACAUAAUUCAUCUAGUUUCAAAUUUUACUUCUUAUACUAAAAGAUCAUUUGAGGUUGCUAUCGAGGAGGUUUAAAAUGAUGCAAAAUCACUUAUAUCACAAAUAAAAUAUGAAAAAAAAUUUCUAAAAUUUGAUUUUGAGAGUAAGUUUUAUCCUUAAUAAAAUUCCACAUAUAUUAUCACGUCUAUUACAUAACCACAGAAUUAUCAUUAUUUGAUUUAGAAAUAAAAAUAGUAAAUAUAUAAUGUAAUCAUUAUUAUAGUGAGUUUUUAUUUAUUUUUUCAAUAACUCUUAUAAUAUUUACUUAUUUUACAUUCAUUUACAACUCUUCUAUUUUACUUUUAUAAUUUAUAUGUUAUUUUACACUUAAUGUUGAUGUACAAGUUUUAUAUCACAUUUGUAAACAAGUUUUACUUUAUAUUUACAUGUAUUAUGUUUUAUUUACUUAAUUCAUGUUUUAUUUUAUACUUAAUGUUGAUUUACAAGUUUUAUAUUAUAUUGAUAUAAGUUUUUAUUUUAUUUACUAAUGAUAUAUCAACUUACCACUGUUAAUUUACUUAUUUUACCUUCAAUUUGCAAGUCUUGUGUUUCAUUUACAUAAUUUAUUAUGUUUUAUUUUACGUUUAAUGUUGAUUUACAAGUUUUAUGUUAAAUUUACACCUCUUAUAUUUUAUUUACACAAUUUAUGUUCAAUUAUAGUAUAUUAUAGAAUGACUCAUUUGACAUUACAAUACAAAAUUAUAAACAUAAAUAGAUGUAUCAAAAAGUCUUGUCGAAAAAUGAAUCCACCUUAAUACGGACCUGUCUCAUUGUUUUAUAAUUAAAGUUGCACACUCUUACAAUGAACUUGAAGAAAUUGAAUUCUCAACAUCAAUAAUGAGGUGUCUAUUACUAAUAAUAGUUUAUAAAAAAAAUAAAAAAAAUAAAGAAAUAUGAUUAAAUUGAUCAAUGUAAUUUUAUUAAAAAAAAGAAGCAUUUUUAUUACAAAAGCAAUCUCAAAAUAUAUAUUUUUUGUAGUUACAAAAAAUCAUGACCUAGUGGCGACCUAGUGGCGACCUGGUGGGCGUAUAUACAAAAAUCAUAAUAUUUUUAUACUGAUUACAUAAAUUCGGUGAUCACAGACCACAGUAAAACCCUGAAACCGCCCAACGGGGUUCUUUACCAGAGGAAAAAAGGGAGGAAAGAAAAUGACUUUUUAAUAUAACGGCACGGGUUUAAGCCAAAAACGGUGGAAUCAAAUCAUUGACACGUUCGUGCGAUGCCUUCACUCCUCAGGCAAACCAGACUCCCGCAUGUGAAUGCCACGUGAACGUAGCUUCUUCACAUAAUUUUUACCCCAAUGUCCAAAUUACCCCUUAUCUUUUACUCCUUUUUUUUUCUUUUUAACUUUGCCCGAUUUUGAAGUCUAUUACGUAUUGCGGACUGCUGCCCUCGCUUGACGUGUUUUUUCUCCUUUUUUUUUUUUUUCCCUCUCCAAACUAUUCUUUUCAAUUUUAACUAAAUAAUUUUUUUUUUUAUUACGAACAUCAACUUAAAAUUUAGGUUAGUUAGACACUUCCCCACUUCAUCCUUAAAGUCAAGUAUUCAUAUCUAUCUGUCUAUGGUGAAUAAUUUUUUUUAUUUUUUAAACUACGAACAAGUUAUCUUUUUUUUUUUUCUUUUCCAAUAUCACUAUUUAUCCACUUUUAGUUUAAUUCUUUCUGCCUAAGAUGAUCAAUUUAAAUUAAAAAUGGGAUUUUGAAAUUAUUUACUAAAAAUCAUGAUUGUUCUUUUGACGUAUUUGAAUAAAGUUUAUUUGGAAAAAUUAAUGUAAAAAAAAAAAAUGUUGGAAGAUUACGACAAUGGAAAUGUAGUCUCUGGUGAAAUGCUCUGAUUCAAUCAAUCAUCAGCAAAUGCGGUUCGCACGUUGGCAAUGGAACUCGUGAUAGCACAACCGUGAAAUGUCCUUCAUUUGGGAGUCCACGUUAAUCACAUGUGGGUCCAUCUUGAGUGCUUUUGUGCUUUACAAUUAAAAUAGACAGACAGGCUGAUGACCUGACAAUUUCGAGCCUGAUAAAGCCCCUUCAUCAACUUGAUCAGAAGGACAGGACAGCUAUUAAUAGAAAAAAGCAGCAGACUAGUACUAAUCGAGAAGUCAAACAGAUAAAAACUAAAACUAAAUAAUCUAAUCUCCUCCUAAUUCACUAAAUUAUUUUAUUUCUAUUGGUAUAAUUAAUUAAUUGAUUGAUUAAUCAAACAUGCCUUCACAAUUAAAUAGUUUCAACAGUGUAAGUUGAACCACGUGUCAAGCAAAAGCAACCAUCAUUUAUUAUAAUUUUUUUUUAUUUUUUUCGAAAAAGGAAAAAUCAAAAAACAAGGCAAGUUGAUGCCAACAGGAUCUGAUCCGGAAGGGUAACCGAGUCAUUUCGCCGUCAUGCAUGCCUCAAUCCGGAUUGCCUGCCCGCCCCCACGUUGGAAAACCAGGGACGCAUCGAUAAGCAGUUUCAACACCCAAAACACAAACUUGGGGGCGGGAAUUGCAAAACGAAAUAACAGCUUUUGCUUUUGCUUUAAUUUUUUUCCGUUUGUUUUCUUAAAAAGAAAGAAAAAAAAAAAUACUCCCAGUUCCACAAUAGAGCCCCUGGUUUUGCCUAUUUCUUUAAUCCUUUUACGCAGACUCAUGAUAAAUAUCUCCAUCUAUCAGUCAGUCCAUACGGUUUCCUUUCAUCACCAACCCCACCAACGAAAACAAAAAAAACAAAACAAACCCCCUCUUCAGAAAUAUAAUUAUAAUUUUCUUUUUCUAUUGAAUUAAGCUUGUUGGGUAUAAUUUGCUAAUUAAUCAAAGAUCGAUCUAUGACGACGGAAGCGGUCAGCAAGGUUGGAUAUGCGCAUAGUAAGGUUGCUAUGAAGAAGAAGAGCGGUUAUCGAGGUCGAUGCAGGAGAAGAAAUCACGACAGAUAUGCACCCGAUAAUAAAACGGUGCCGAUGGCGCUGCAGCGUCUGUUUCUUUCUUGCAAAGACGUCUUCAGAGGCCCUGGAACCGUUCCCGCUCCUUCUCAUGUCCAAAUGUUGUGCUCUAUUCUUGGUAAGUGUUUUUUUUCUUACACUUCAUCAUUUCUGGUCCAAUUUUCUUGUUUUUCAUUUGGCCGCUGCACUCGCAUGACGUGUAUGUUGUGAAAUCUGAACCCAUCAUCAUCCUUCAUCCAUGCACAUAUAUAUUAUCAGUCAUGAGAAAUUUUGAAUCAGCCAUUAAAAAAAGAAAAAAAAAAAGAAAAGGAAAGAUUCAAUAUUAUCAAAUCAAUACCAUUUUGUUUCAUGAGAUGAUCUAUGAAAGAUGGGAAAGGAGCACUGCUCCUUAUUUCAUUUCCUGUCACGUCUGUGUUUCAAUCAAUUGUAAUAAUACAUAUAGCCACGUAAAAAGCAAGGGGCAAUACUCUUUACAGCACGAAAACCUUCUCAAAAAAGGGGCUUUACUUUAUUGGCAGUAAUGAAUUGUUUUGAGCAAUUCAAUUCAUCAGUGCACUUAUCAUGUUUACGUAGUUUGUCAAUUUGGUUCCAGUUUUUGGUUCUUUUUAUUGGAUUCAGUGCCGAAAUGUCAUGUGUGUUCAUAGGACGUACUGGGAAAAGGAUUAGAAAUCUGUACUGAAUUUUUUUAAAUUUUGGGGGGGGGUUUUUUUUUGGGGUGGAUGGGGUUAUGGAUCUAAGUGGAUGGUACCAAUUUUCAAAAAUGUAGUUUAAUUAACUUUCCAGUUGAAAUUACAAAACCAAACCAUCCGAAAUGGAUUCUUCGAGAAAAGGUGGGUUCAGAAAACAAAGUGGUUGCUUCUAGGUGAAUCCAGAUUUUUUUCACGCGGACACAUGGUACCUUUUGGUUGAUUACCCAGCCACAGUGUUGCUUGAGGGGACAAAAAUAUCAUAUUUGUUUUUUUUUUUUUUUCCAAAUUCCUUUUUAAUUCGUAACUCAAUCUCAUGGGAUCCUACUCAGCAGCCAUUGUGAUUAUUUUUUUUACCUGACGACGCAAAAAUCUUUGCAUUAGAAAGGAUACAUAAGCACAUUUGCCUACUGUUGCUACGUGUACAUGUGCAAUGGUUUGGUUGCAAAACUGGAAGCAUUGGCACAUUAUAUAUAUGUGUGUUUUUUUUUUUUUAAUAUGUAUAAAUGCAUGGAUCAUGACACUUGGCUAAGUUAAAAUUUCCAUUUUCUCGUUAUCAUAAAGAUUGCCAGUGACUCAAACAAGCUUUUCUUUUUAAAUUUAUGAUGCUACAGAUGAAAUGAAGCCAGAGGAUGUUGGGCUUAGCAGUAAGUUACAGUUACUUAGUGCCAAAGAUGCAAUGAAAGGGACGCCAAUUGUCACAUCCACUACAAUAUACAAAUGCCAGAACUUUUCGGUAAAGACAUAAGCUAUUCAUAUUGGGCUAAAUUAAAUUCUUUUAUUAUCGUAUACUAAUUUGUAAACCAUACUAAUUAAUAGUGCAAAUUUGAUUUAGAACUUGAUAGAUUACCUUUUGGAUUCUCUUUUGUGCAGUUGUGUCUUUUCUUUCUUCCUCCAACUGCUGUGAUCCCCUUGCACAACCAUCCGGGAAUGACUGUUUUUAGCAAGCUUUUGCUCGGGACAAUGCACAUAAAAUCGUACGAUUGGGUCGAUCCUGUUGACGCAAACGAUUCUGCAGCCCCCACAAAACGUGAGUACCGCUUACCUUAUACAUAUAUGUCCAUGUAUAAUGCACACACGAACACACACACACACACACUCACAUAUCAAAACAACACGAUAACUUGAAUGUGCUAGCUCGGACUAGGAUGAUCAUUUGUGACUGAAAGUGAUGAUUUAAUUAAUUUGCAGCGCGAUUGGCGAAGUUGAUAGCCGACAGUGAUUUCACAGCACCUUGCAACACUUCUGUGCUAUAUCCAACAACAGGAGGCAAUAUCCAUGAAUUCACAGCCAUUACGACAUGUGCCGUGCUCGAUGUGCUUGGACCUCCCUACUCUAAGGACGAUGGUCGGGACUGCUCAUAUUACAAGGAGUUGCCACUUCCCGCGGUUCCAAGUAAGCGAAACAAAACCACUUGUUACUGAUUAAAAACAACCUCGUUUAAACCUCCUCGAGUAGCGCUUUCAGAGGUCUUACCAAUUAAACCCACCGAUUUUGUUAAUGCAGAUGGAGAGAAUCAGGAGGCAAAAGAGGAUGAUGGUGGUGAGAGUUGUAGGUGGUUGGAAGAGAUUGGGGUGCCAGAGAACUCACACAUGGAUGAAAUUGAGUACUUGGGACCGCAGAUAAUUGAGUAGUAGCUGUAACUAGCUUCAGCCCACAGUCGCGUGAUAAAAAAAAAUUUCAACGCAUUAUCUUCUUUUGUUUCAUAGCUAGUCAAUGGUUUUGUAUUUAUAUAUACACAUAUAUUACGUUGUUUCCUGACCUGAGUUUUCACUAUGUUAAUAGCAAAAUUUCAUUUCUUUUUCUUUUUUCUCUUUAAUCCCGGUAUCUUCUUUAAUAACUUGAUUACUUGAGUACACUGUACCAUUGAAAUCAUGGUUCAUGCCAUAGUUCCCUUAGAGGAAGGUCCAAACCCGGCUUAGGAGAAAUGGAGGUUUGGGCUGUCGAGGGCCUUGGUGUUGCUAUGUUCCCAAGAGAUGUUUACUUGGGCUGUCGAGCGCGCCGAGAAGUGCUUAAUAUUACAUCAAUGGGCCGGGCUUGUAACCGACUACUACACAUUCCCAUGGCGGCAAUCCUGAUCAGUAAUUAACUUGGGAUUUUGCAUUCAAUGAUUGCCACAAUAAUAUCAGCAAACUUUUCAGAAGAACCUUAAUUGAUAAUUGUCAUUUUGCAAUCAUAGGUUAGUUGAUGGAUAUACCAUGGGCCCUGAAAAUUAAUUAAAAUAUCAAACAUUGUAUGCUCCUAGGUUGGAAAUUUUUCAAAAUUUUCAAUAGAAAAAUAACCUCAAAAUCAAUAUUUUACAUGUGAAGAUCUGUUUCAUUAACAAGCGCGAUGGGCCAAACGGAGGGAGCCAGGAAUUUUAAGCUGUUCAUAUUUGACGCCCUAAUUUGGGAUUUGCUAAUACGGAAAAACUUUGAGCUGCUCACUAAUUUAUAUCUUGACUUCGAGAAUCUGCGCAAUUACUAAUUAGUAGCCAUCAAUAAUUGUCAAAAAUCAAUUUUGAAUUUCGAUAUUUUUGAAUGCAUUGGUGUUACGUGUUUCUCCAUACGCGUUAGUAAAUUUGAGAUGGUGUAAAUUUGUAAUAAACUAAUAAUAUCUUCUUUUUUUUAUAAUUUGAAAAUCAACCCAAUCUGAUUCUCUAAAUUAACAAGAUCAAAUUGACUAUCCAAUGUUCAUUCACUAGGAAAGUCCUAAAGGUCCCUCUAAACUAGAAAGUUACUCAAAUCUAUGGCCAAAAUAAAGUCUUCUUAUAAUUAAAGAAACAACCCAUCUUUUUUUAAGAUCUUCUGACAAUGAAUUUUCAAUUAUGAUGGGGUUUGAAGUUUUGAAAUUUUCUAAGAAUUAUUAACAACUGAAAAGAGAAAGCAAAAGAAAAAGGACGAUGUGAUAUGGCAUGGGACAUGGACUUCCCACCACCUUUACAUUGCCAUCAUGCAAAAAAAAAGCUCUCAAUUUUAUGCUUAGCUUGUUCUUGUUUUCUUUCUUUUAUCACUUCUUUAUUACGUGGGUCUUGAAUUCUCAAUAGUUUCUAAUUGUUAAAAAACUCCAUGAAAAUUGCUUUCCCUAUUGUAAUACCUCCAUUAAGGAGAAUGAAGGGUUAAAAAUGUACCGACAGAUACUGGAAAAUUAUUGAAUGAAGUAAUCAACAUGAUUGUUCACUGACAAUAUUAUAUUCGGAAUAAUGAUAGCUGGUUGUUUUGGAUUGUUUUAGAUGUUGUAUUAGCCAAUUAGGCAUAUUGGUAUAUAUUAUUAUUAUAUGAAAUACUAUUGCCUUUUUUAUUAGCAAAAGACUUUCGGUUAAGAUUUUGCUUAAUUACACGAUUGCAUCGUGAUUGUUUUUAAGCUUCAUCAUUCAAUUCCAAAACUUAACGUAACAAAAGAUCUUACUAACAAUACUAUUUUAAUACCCAUUUUUUUCCCAGUCACGUGAGUGUAUAUGAUCUCCAUAUCUUUGGUACUAUAUCUAAAAAAUUUUUCCAAUCAAAUUAAUUAACACCCGCAGCUACAUUUAAGCAAAUUGUUCUAAGCCGCUAGGGUUUAAUCUAGUAGUUAAAACACAACCCUUACAAUUGUGAGAUUAUGCGUUCGAACCCUCACAACAAUACAUUGUGGGGGUUUAAUUUUCUUCUCUAAUUUGAGUGAAAGCAGUCUCAUAAAAAUAUGGAUUGUGCUUGUCCCAAAAUUAUUUAAUUAUAAAUAUCAGUAUACUAAUCUCAUAAAAUAUAAGUAAAUACGAGUUGGAAUAUGAUCAAUAAUGUCAUAUAAUUUUUUUUAUUUAAAAAAAAAAAAGCAAAGUGCUAUGCAAUCCACUUGAUAUUACGACAAUAACUGGCACACUAAUGAACAACUAGUAAAUUCAUUUUAAAAGAAAUAACACCCCAAAUCAUUAAUAUUUAAAAAGAAUCAUUUGAAAAAAUCUUAAAAAGUGUUCGGCAAUCCACUUGUCAUUGUAACAAUCACUCACACGCCACUGAUCAACUUUAGUUUCAUUCAGUAUGCCGAGAAAUAGAAUUUAAAAAUAACAACACCUCAAAAUCAUACAUAUUUGAGAAGAAUCACAUGAAAAUUGAGCAGGUCAAAUAGUUGUGUAUAGAACAAAUUUUUUCAUGAGACAGGCUGGAUAGCAAGAAAUGGAAGCCAACUGUGAGUUUCGGUCUUUCAUAGAAUUUGGCCUAACGUUGUCACAUUCACUAUUCACGUACCCAUAUUAUCAUCAUCCCAGUGGGCACUGGCACUGCUGAGUGCUGACCCAAUAGAACAAAAUAAUAAUAAUAAUAAUAAUUCCCACUUGCUCAAUAUUUUAUUCUUUUCAUUUUAAUUGUCAUUUUCCCAAGUAAAUAAAAACCUUUUAUGCAAUUAAUUCUGCUUGUCGGGUGGAUGAGGUGGUUCAUCACGUUCAAAUGUUCAAUCAAUGACAAUUUUAUCGCAAAUUCCAUUGCUUAUAAUUGUUGUAACCAAACAAAUCCCUGGUGCCUGCACUAACACCUUAGCUUCAUUUUCAAUUAAGGCGGUUUUCAACAACUUAUUAACUUUAUUUUUAAAGAAAAAGAAAUCCCAAGUGUUUUUCUCACUAAUUGAUUGCUUAAAAAUACUUAAGAAAAUUACCCACAAAUAAAUUAACGAUAAACAUUUAGUACUAGCUUAUGAUUUUUUUGGGGGGGGGGGGGUUUCUAAUAAAAUUUGGAUUAUUUGGGUUUUAUAUUUGAGAAAAGUUAAGUUACGACGAUCGAUAAUUAUAUACCCUUAAAUAAUUAUUAUCUAAUUUGGAUAUUUUUAUAUCUUAAUGAGUUCGUGUUGAUUUGCCAAUCUUACAAGUCUUUAUUUUACAAAAUAUAGAUAUUUAGAUUGAAAAAAACAUAUAUAUAUAUGUAUGACAGUAUGAGUAGUGUAUAUGUUACAAGAUAUUUUAAAAUUUAAUACUUUAGUUGAGAAAUGCCAUCACCCUCAACUACUCGGUUACAAGAAUAUUAUUGCGUUAUUUAAUAUUCUGUUAUCGAUUGCUUUAUUAGGAAGAAAUAAUGAAAAAUGGGACAUCCAUUGCUAAAGUACAACACAACAUUGUUGACAAGUGAGUCCCCCUUGAAGUGACAACUAUUUUUUUUCUUCCUUAAUAAAGGACGAGCUAUGUGUAUGUGGUUUUGCCGUGCAACCCAAGUUUCAAUGUCUGUAUCAUUUAUAGGGGGAAACCUUAGGUGCAACCCACACACGCCACUCGGCUUUUGGCAGCCUGGUUGAGAGGGCAGCAGUUAUUUUUGUGGGGGCUAAAACAUUCAUUCUUUUUUUCUUUUGUAAUUUUUCAUCUGUGAGGAUUAUUUGUCAAUAUAGAAAUUUGAUACUGUAAUCAAUAUUAAAAAAAAAAAAAAAAGUACCCACACAUACACACAUAUAUCUAAGAAAAUAAAUGAUGAAUACUAUGUAAGAGAAAAUUUGGUAGUUACAGGGUGAACACUUUCUUAUCAAAAUAAUAAUAAUAUAAUAAAUUAGAGACCCUCCUGAAUAUUUCCAACAUGCUUCUCAAAUUGCAUGAGUGUUGGAUUCAUCAACUUAUUAUUAUUAUUAUUAUUAUUAUUAUUAUUAUUUUAUCAUCAAUUGAUGUGCAAAAGGGUGAUGUUAUCAGUUAUCACGGCCUCCUGAGAAAAAAAAAAACUUUAAAUUCAACGUGAAAUGAAAAAUGUAAGGAAUCAAAUCGAAUUGUCAAAAUGAAAUGAGAGGCGAACAAUUUAACUGUUCAGAAAAGAAGCAAAGGCGCCAAAAGCAACGGACGGAACAUAAAAGUGGGUCCCACGUUUCAAAGGGACAAAACCAGAGAAAGCCAAAGCCCACCCCGCAACGAAAGUGAUGCCAAAGCUUACAAUUUGUAUUACCUUAAAAAUUCUGUUCGGUUCAUUUAAAUUUUAUUAUAAAAUCAUUUUCAAAAUUCCAAAUUUUAUAACCAAAAAAUUCGCUGCAUGCAGCGAGAAAGCAGCAAGUGAAGAAUAAAGGGUUCCCCCCGUCAGCAAGAAUCUUUUCUUUUUUUUUUUCGCUUUUUUUUUUCCCUUUGUUUUUUAAGAAAGCAAAAAUUAAGAGAGCAUUAGUUUUGCUGUCAUGAUAAGUAUGGUGUUCAAGAGAGUGUCGGCUAGUGGGAAGUGUUUUGUCAUUCAGUCAUUGUGUUUGCAAUUUUCUUAUGAACCCGUGUCAAUAAAAUGUCUUGGCUUGUGAACAGAAACUGAAAUUGAGCUUCUUUGUGUGUCAGUGAGAUUUACAGUGUCUGUGCAUUGAAUGUAUGGUUGCUAAAUUUUUGCUUUUUUCUUCUUCUUCUUUUCUUUUUUCCCCCCGAAGUGGAUAGUCAAGAAAUAUGAAGAGAUUAUGACUUGAGAUUUUUUUUUAUUUUAUUUGAAGUGAUGAUCUGAAUUAACUGGGCUUUGGUUUCUAUGGUAGAAGUUUUGUUCUAUUUUGUGAGGGGAUUUCUUCAUGAGUUAGGCAAGGAAUUAAUUCGUUUUGAAGUUAGAAUUUAUGUGUUCAAAGUUAGUUUCAAGUGACCUUUCUAAAGUCUUUAAGGUAUAUUGUUGGAAAUUAGCUGGCUUUUUUGUUCAAUCAGUCUCUCAAGAGGUAAGCUCCUUAUGAUCCUUUAGAAGUUUUUAGUUAUGAUAAUGUCGAUUGAUAAAUUAUCUGUAAUUUGUAUAAUAUUUGCAGAGUUUCUGUUGAUCUUGGGAGCUGGCGCUUCUGUAAUUGAGAAGCUAGAGGCAUCACUCUGUUAUCCCAGCGGAUUUUUAAAAGCUCUAGAAUCCCUUUGUGAUUUUCUCUAGUGUUCCUUUUUGUAUGCAUUGAUGGCAAGAGCAUCCAGAUUCAGUCAGUGUGCACUUCUGGUGCUUGCUUACAUUUUGCUUCAGGUCAAUCAUUCGGAGCAACUGCAGUCUUCUCAGGCUCAGACCCUUUUGAGGAUUCAAGGGCUUUUAAACAAUCCAACUGUUUUAAGCAGCUGGAAUAUCACCACUGAGUUCUGCAAUACAGAACCAACCUCGUCUUUAACUGUAGUAUGCUACGAAGAGAGCAUAACCCAGCUGCAUAUAGUCGGCAACAAGAGAGCUCCUACGUUGCCUCUAAGCUUUUCCAUGGAUUCCUUUGUGACGACUCUUGUUAAGCUUCCGGACUUGAAAGUCCUCAGGCUGGUUUCUCUAGGUCUAUGGGGUCCCUUGUCUGGUAAAAUUUCACGUUUAUCGUCACUGGAAAUACUUAAUAUGAGCUCAAAUUUCCUGAAUGGUUCUGUACCUCAGGAGCUUUCAAUUUUAACUAGCCUUCAAACACUCAUACUUGAUGAAAACAUGCUUGCUGGUCGGGUUCCAGAUUGGUUGGGUUCAUUACCGAUUUUGGCUGUUUUGAGCUUGAGGAAUAAUAUGUUCAAUGGGACUUUGCCUGAUUCGUUUAGUUACUUGGAGAAUCUUAGAGUUCUUGCGCUUUCAAACAAUCACUUUUACGGAGAAGUUCCUGACUUCAGUGGUUUGACUUACCUUCAAGUACUUGACUUGGAAAAUAAUGCUUUGGGACCUCAGUUUCCUAAAGUUGGCAAAAAGUUGGUUACAAUGAUACUGAGCAAAAACAAGUUCAGGUCUGCCAUUCCUGCUGAAGUGAGUUCCUAUUAUCAGCUUCAGCGGCUAGAUCUCUCAUCUAAUAGAUUUGUUGGACCAUUCCCUCAAGCACUUUUAUCCUUACCUUCUAUUACUUAUUUGAAUAUUGCUGAUAACAAACUCACGGGGAAGCUUUUCGAUGAUCUUUCUUGCAAUCCCGAACUUGGAUUUGUGGACUUGUCAUCAAAUCUGCUGACUGGACAGUUGCCGGAUUGUCUACUUGCAGGUUCUAAAAACAGGGUUGUCCUGUAUGCUAGAAAUUGUCUAGCAGCUGGAAAUGAAAAUCAACACCCGCUUUCCUUUUGUCAGAAUGAGGCUUUGGCAGUGGGAAUUUUACCUCUGCAAAAGAAGCAGAAACAAGUUUCCAAAGCAGUUCUUGCGUUGAGUAUAAUAGGAGGAAUUAUUGGGGGAAUCUCACUUUUUGUGAUUGCUUUCUUGCUUGUUAGGAGAACUAAGUCCAAGCAAACAAUGAAGAAGACUCCAACAAGAGUAAUUCAAGAAAAUGCUUCAACUGGGUACACCUCGAAGUUCCUCUCAGAUGCAAGUAAGGCUUCAUCUCCCCUUAAUCCCCCUGCCAAGUAAUUCCCAUUCUGUGUUUCUGUUGAAAUCAAGCAUGAAUCUGGGCACACCUCAAAGCUGCUACUGGAGUCAUGCAUUGUGCAAGCUUUAAUGUAUUUAUGCAUGUGUCCACACACAAUGUAGUGUUGCAUUUUUAGGACAUAGGACCGUAAGUUUUAAUUGAAAGGUUGUCUUUGAAUACUCUAUUUUGAUCAUCCAACUUGAAGCCCUCACAUAGAAAUUAUUGACCAGUCAGUUGCAAGAAAUCGAGUGAUGAUUGUGUUCUUGUCUUAAAGCCAGUUAAUAAUAUUCUUGAACUGUUAAAUUGUUGUCCAAGUUUUAAGCUAUAUUAAAAUUGACCAUAUGAUCGUUUGUGCCCCCUGAAGGGUAUAUUUCUCAAACAAUGAAGUUGGGAGCACUUGGUCUUCCAGCUUAUCGAACCUUUUCCUUGGAAGAGCUUGAGGAAGCUACAAACAACUUCGACACCUCUGCUUUCAUGGGUGAAGGUUCUAAAGGGCAGGUAUGCUACUCUGGUACAAUAUAUAUAUGAUGCCUACUUUCAUGUCGCAAUGAUGCACAGUAUGACAGUUCUGACAAUUUGUAUUUUCCCUUUGCGUGAUCCGUUCAAAGAACGGAAAAGGAAAAGUUGGUCCAGCAUUUCUCUACACCUCACAUAUUUCAUGCUUGCAGAUGUACAGGGGUCGCCUGAAGAAUGGUACCUUCAUUGCCAUUAGGUGCCUUAAAAUGAAAAAAAGCCACAGCACUCGAAACUUCAUGCACCAUAUAGAGCUGAUAUCAAAACUCAGACAUUGUCAUUUAGUCAGUGCUCUUGGACACUGCUUUGAAUGCUACUUUGAUGAUUCAAGUGUUAGCAGAAUAUUUCUCAUCUUCGAAUACGUUCCAAACGGCACACUAAGGAGCUGGAUAUCUGGUAAUUCAUGAAAAUCUUUAAUUCGUUUCUCAGGGUGGAGGAUAUAAAGUAAUUAAAGCCACUCUUUUGUACUCCUCUGCUCUAUAAGCCGGCUUUAUGGGGUCUUCAAAAGUAGCUGUGAAUUUUUUAACCUUGAUCCUGCGUGUAGUCAUUGAAUAAAGUAAUCAAUCAGUCUAGAUAGUUCAGUUUCCUGCAAGUAAUUAAUUUACUUAAAGAGAAUAAUUCGUGGUUUUUAAAAUAUAUUGUUCAAAGUCAUCAAGAAAAGACCGAAUCGGAAUCAUGUUCCAUAGUAAUCACAAGAAAUUACUAUUUUAUGUCCUCCAUCCUGACUUGUUGUUAUAUCCAGUUAAUCAAAUUAUGCCUUUAUGUUCUGGCUGGUUUCAAAGUCUUAGAUACUUUUAUGCAGAAGGGCAUGCCUGGCAAUCACUUACUUGGACACAACGUAUAUCAGCUGCAAUAGGGGUGGCAAGGGGCAUACAAUUUUUACAUACAGGGAUUGUGCCUGGUGUAUUUUCAAAUAAUUUGAAAAUAACAGACAUUCUACUAGAUCAGAACCUUGUUGCAAAAAUUAGCAGUUAUAACCUGCCUUUAUUAGCAGAAAAUGCCGAGAAGGUAAAAAGGAGAGAAUCUUCCUUUUCAUCAUUCUGUCCAUCUUUUCCAGUGCCAUGCACUUUUCAGUUGAUUUGUAGCUUGCUUCAUCUGUGCAGGUUGGUCAUGUAACCCCUUAUUCUGGAUCCAUAAAUCCUACAAAUAGUGCAAGGUAGGUAAUUGCUUCAAUAGUCUGACAAAUGUUGUUGCAGUUCAUUAGAAAUAUUAAAAAAUAGGGAUAUUAUCAUUUUUCCACCAAAGGUAUUCUGACACAUCAUGUCAGUACCACGGUUUAGUAAAACUAUCAAUUUACCACCAAACAUUUAAACUGUUAGCAUUUUCUCACCAUUCCGUUAAAACUCAGUUAAUAUGUAAUGAAAAUUUUCUAAAAGGUCAAUUUUACCCCUGGAGCAUAAAAGACCAUGUAAUUAACUUUUUAUGAAUUUUGUAAUUAAAUCAUCAUUUAUUGUUCUUCCUUCUUAAAGGACAAAAAUUACCCUUUAUGAAUUUUGUAAAAUUGACCGUGUGGUGUUAGGUAAUUCAUAAAUUGAUUUAAUUUAUUUAAUUUUUAAAGGGCAAAUUUAUUUAUUUAAUUUUUUGUGUAAAAUUAUUAUCAUCAUAUCAAAGAUUAAAUUGCUUCUUUUGCACUUUUUUUUUUUUUUGCCCUUUCAUAAAUUGAGUUUUAGUAGUAUAAUAAAUUGUCUUUAGCUCGUCAAUUUAAUAAAUAAAUUUGCCCUUUAAAAAUUAAAUCAAUUUAUGAAGUACCUAGCACCACACGGUCAAUUUUACAAAAUUUAUAAAGGGUAAUUUUUGUCCUUUAAGAAGGAAGAACAACAAAUGAUGAUUUAAUUAUAAAAUUCAUAAAAGGUUAAUUACAUAGUCUUUUACGCUCCAGGGUAAAAUUGACAUUUUAUAAAUUUUCUGUUACAUAUUAAUUGAGUUUUAACGGAAUGGUGGGAAAAUGCUAACAGUUUAAACGUUUGAUGGUAAAUUGAUAGUUUUACCAAACCAUGGUACUGACAUGAUGUGUCAGAAUACCUUUAGUGGGAAAAUGAUAAUAUCCCUAAAAAAUAAAAGGAAAAACUAAAAAGGAAGCCUUAACGGGCAACUAAAAUUGCUAAAAAGAAUAUGUUGGGUAUAAACGUAUAAGAUCAUGCACUAAUAAAUCAUGCUGCAUGAAUAUCUACUGCUAUGAGAAAAUAAGUGAUGACAAUCUUCAAAUUUCCUCUAGUUUCUGCUCUUAGAAUUUUCUAGUCAUACAAUUCUACCAAAACAAAUUCAUUCUGAUUUAAAUUGAUGUAAGAACUGUUCUCUCUACACUCUCUUAUUUGGCAGGGGGAAACUUGAAGAUAAGAUUGACAUUUAUGACUUUGGAUUAAUUUUACUAGAAAUUAUUGUUGGGAGGCCAUUAAAAUCCAGGAAAGAAGUGGAUCUUCUGAAAAAUCAGGUAAUGGUUCUGCUUGUUUACAUUACUUUCUUUCAAAAAUCUUUCAUAUCCAUUCUUCUUUCUCAGUCAUCAUGUGAAGAGUUCAGAAUGCCGUGGAAAUUUGAUCACUCUUUGGUGCACAGCUAACACAGUAACACCCUAGGAUUUGUGUUCUAAAAUUGCAUCUACUCGGGCUCUUCUAGAUUUAUGCCAACUCUACUGCUAAAACUUGAAUGUUUCUCUUCUUUGCAUCCUUAAUCUGGUGGCUUACAACUAUGUCAUGUUAACAUAGACCGAAACCUCUUCAUGAUUACUAGCUGGUUACUCAUGACAGCAUACCUUUGACUUUCUGUAGUUACAAGCUGUCAUUACUGCUGAUGAAUCAGCACGACGGAGCAUGGUUGAUCCAGCAGUUAACAAGGCAUGUUUGGAUGAGUCACUGAAGACAAUGAUGGAAGUCUGUGUCAGGUGUCUGCUUAAGAACCCAGCAGAGAGACCUUCAGUUGAGGACGUGCUAUGGAAUUUGCAGUUUGCUGCUCAAGUUCAGGAUGCAUGGCAUUCUCAGAGCAGUGAAGGGUCUCCAAUCUCACCUCCAUGGCCAUCACACCAACACCUUUCCUUUCAUUAGUUGCAACAUUCAGGUCCUUACACUGCUAAAUAUAAACCUGUUAACAAAUCUUUUGAUAUAAAUACACAUCUUAUUUCCUACAAACUCUCCAGUAAAUGUUGAGUUUCUGGUCUUCGAUCUUCGCUUUACAUUGUGCCUACUGAUUUGAAACAAAAAAUUUGAAAUGCAGGACAUGCUGUACGUGGCUUGAUGACAAUUGUGCCUGAACAUUUUCUAUCACUCCUACCUCUUUCCUUCCAUGUAAUUUUUGCGACAAACAACUCUAAAGUUACAGUUGAAGAUGACAUUUUUCAGAGAGACCAAAAGCUAGCUGUCUCUUGUUAUGCUAAACAUCUUGUUUCCAGUUCUCCAUGGUUGGAUCCUAGCACAUAUCCUGGAUUAUAGAUCAAUGGUUGCAGGUCCCGUAUCCCAGUCAAAUCAUCUAUGCAUUUGUUUAAUAUUUUUCCACAAUGAUGAUCAAAGGGGAUAUGUUGUCUGCGUCCAUUACUCUUUCUUUACUAUUGUAAGGUGCAGCUAAAAGUAAUGAUGUACAAGCUUUUUCUAUGUUAUUGUAUACACAUAUCUAAGCCCAAUGUUUUGGCAGGAGAUGGUUGUUCACUUUCGAACGUUUUGCUUCUUUCUGGGAUCCGGGUUGAAUCUCAAAUUUUUACAAUUUACAACCUCAAAAUCGUUUAGCCGUAGGUGUGGCCUGUCAAAAUUCAAGUUUCAAGAUCAGUCUCUAUUUGAAUAACAUUCAGUAAAACCCUACAGGUUUAGUAAGAUAUCGUCAACCUAACGGAAUUCAGAGAUCCAUCUUCAGCCAUUAAUAUUCCAUCCAACUUACAAUGCAAUGAGCGUAUCAGAUAUUGCCAGAACAAGAAGUCUCCAUUCACUAAUUAGAUUAAGACAGGAUUUUAUCCCAAGUCUUAAUCGCAUCUGUUCAAUUUUUCUAUGCAAUCGCUUUCCUAGCUCAUGGCCCCCAUAAUUCGUGGUCCUCUAUGUCAGUUGUCAUCCUCUUGAUCACCUUUAUAUUUCAUUUUUCCUCUUCAAAUAAUAAUGUUUCGAGGUUUCAUGUCCAUGGAUGUCGACAUGCUCAAGCUCGAGGAAACUCCAAAAGGGAGGUAAAAGGAAAAUGAGGUUGUAAUGGAGAAAGGGAAUUUGGUGAAAAAAUAAUCACCAUAAAACACAAUGCAAAAUAAGAGUUACUAAAAGACGGCCAUUCACAACAUUCAAAAAUCCCACAAAAUAAUUCCAGUGAGUAAGAGCUCCUCUGUUUUCCUCUUUUGAGAGUUGAAGAUUGUCUUUAAGACAUCAUUGUACUCCUAUACAAAUGCUACAAAUAAAUUACAGUUAGAUGAAAAAUGUUUCAAAAGUAUAAUUUAAAAAAAAAAUUGAGAAAUUAGCAAGAGGUUCAACCAGAGCUGUCUACAAAUCAUCCAAAGAAAUCCUCUAACUCUGAUAACAAUGCACCUGAAAUCACAUUUAUGAAGGACACCACUAUUGGACAAAUCCAGGGAACAUCGUCACUUCAGAACCAGAGUGCUUUUAUUAGGCUUUUAGUCUGCUGUCCAGCUCUGCUCCACUAUUUCCCGCACUCUUCGGUUGUACUCUCUCUUAUUCUCACUGAACAGCCGAGCUGCUUCAGAGUUUGCAGGAGAGUUUGGAUUUGGAUCACAAAGCAGAGACUGAUAAAGACAUAAGUAGCAUCGGGUUAGCAUCAUCUUGUACAUCCACUGACAACCCCCCAAGCUCAUUUAUUUUAGGAUCAACCAUAACUCACAUGAAAUCUCAUGCAAAAACCAAAUUGUCAAGUGCAAACAUAGCAUAUUUGAAAGCUAUAUUAUUAACCAAUUAUUUUAAAGAACACAUUAUAACCAAACUAUAAAUGUUUGAAAUAUUGAUGAAGAAGCUGAUGCAAGAUUCCAUCAUGUUGUGAGUGAGUGAGUGAGUCAGGGGGGGGGAGGGGAAGAAAAGUCAGUCACAACCUGGUAACAAGGAUAAUUUCAGUUUGAAUAAGCAUGUAUUCUGAUUACCAGCUACCAUCAACAAAGAUCAAAAAGAUAAAAGAAAAUGCCAAAAUCAUAACAAAUACUCCACAAUGCCAUCAUUGUUAUGAGAAAGACAAAUUUGAAAACUUUUCAUUUGCAUUUUAAGUCAAAAGACAAAUUUGAAAACUUUCCAUUGCAUUUUAAGUCAAGUUAAAUAUGGUAAGUACAAUAUCAUGUCUUCUCCCACCAAAAACAAAAAAAAAAAAAAGACAAUAUCAUGUCUUCUCCCACCAAAAACAUAUGGUAAGUACAAUAUCAUGUCUUCUCCCACCAAAAACAAAAAAAAAAAAAAGAUUCCAGAUUAAGAGUGCCAACAGUAAUACUACCUGGGAUACUUGUCAUUGUACGAUUUUGACCCCAUGCACAUGAGUUUAGGAAUGAGCAUGAAAUUUUACAGGUUCGUCUAUGUACAGUAAAAAGUGCUCUAUAUCACAGUUUUAUGUUAGCUUUCGCGUGGAUUAAAAAUUAGAUAACUAGAAUUCCAGCCUUGUUUUGUCUAGUCCAUAGAAACACUUGAAAACAGCCGCAUGUUUGAUACUAAAUCUCAAAAAUCAGUUUGUUUACAGCAUUUUUCAGAUGAGACAACUGACUAUAGAUUCCUCAAAUUUCUUUAAUGGAAAAUACUUAAAAUCAUUCAUAUCAAUGCAUCAAACAGUAAUAUUUAUGUGUCGUAUUUCAGACCAUAAACUUAAACAUCAAAUAAUAAAGUGACCAGGUCAUAAAAUCACAGAUAAAAGAGAAGCAAGAUAUGUUGGGAAGAAAACAAAAGAGAAACACCGUGCAAUUAGUCUUUCUUAUGCACAUAAAAGAUACAAAGGAACACAGUAGGCAAACCAAAUAAUAUGAAGUCAUCAUUUGAUGAAACAGGGACUUUGGUCUAUGCAAACCAGCAGAUUUUCUAUUUCGAAGAUUGUCUUAAAACAUGGAAGAUUCACAUUUAUGUUCAGUUAAUAUAUGAAAACAUAUAUAAUGAUGCAAAAAAAAUGCCUUCACAGUGCAGGCUUGUUGACCUCAUAAGCACUUGGAAUUGCGUCAGGGUAAGACAAUCUGAAAAGCUUUUAGCCACUAAUAUCAUGGGUGUGAUUCAGUUGCCAAUUCAAACUAUCUCCACAUUUCAAUUAAGUAGAAGGACUUAUAAAAAGAAGAAAGGGGGAAACAGGAAACAUAACAAAAAUACGGAAAAGGGGGAAACAGGAAACAUUUAACAGGGGAAACCUUAAAAAAUGUGUUAGUCAUAUUGUCUAUUCUCUUUUCUUUUUCCCCCUUCAAAGCAAAAAAGCAAUUUUCUUUCAAUAACCAACAUUAAUUAUAAGAAAUUACGCAGGCAGAAAACAUCCAAUAUCAAUCAAUGAUUAACAAGAAAUAGAAUCCUUUUCCCACAAUCAAGAAAAAUGAAAGAAAAGUCAAACAAAUUUGCACCUGAAUAGAGGUCAGUAUAGCUGCAACAUCAUAUAUAGGACUCCACUGAUUUUGUAAAAUAUCCAAACAAAUACUUCCAUCUGCAUAGACUGAACAAACCAUAGGCACAAGUCAGAAAUCAGAGUCAAUCAUUACGAAGACCAUGUGCAAUAUAAUAACAAGCAACAUAUCAUUUAUCACCAAAAUUCAAAGAGAACAAUAACAAGAAAAAUAUAAUUAAUAAAUAAAUAGAAAAAUAAUUUACAAAUAACAUACUAUUUGGAUGAAACAUCCGUGAGACGAAACGAACUGUUGGGGGUUUAUUUGGAUAAUCCUCUGUGAAUUGUAGAGUCAACUUGAACGUACCUGAAGAAAUUCAAGAAAAUGCUUAGAUGACAAAUGCAAAAACCUAAAUAUUUCAACUGUAAAGACAAAGGAUAAGGCAUAAGCAAUCAUUUUUGUUAAGUAGGAGUAUUUAGGCCUCAAAUGCGACUGAAAGCAAGGAUAGCACGAUAUAGAAACAGAGGUAUAAUUAUUUACUAAAGCAGAUUGUCCACCAUCAUGCAGCAAUCGAUCUAAAGCCACUUCGGCAAUUAAAAUUCCAUCAAAAACACCAUUUACAUAAUUGGAACGUGAAAGCAUCGUUUACAAGAUAGCUCAUUCUGCUCAUAUUGACAGUCCUUCUGAUCAAAGAUGAUGACAAAAAAAAAAGAAAAAAAAAAGAAAAAAAAAAGAGGUGAUCGAAUUUUCUCAACAUCAAACCGGAAAAAAAAAAAAAAAAAACCACUAACACAAACAUGGACAAGGUAAUUAAAUUGUAACAAUAUAUACAAGUUAUGACCCACAACAGCAAAUACAACACAAGCCAAGAACCAUAGGAAUUCAACCAUGUUCUAUACACAGAAUCAGCUUAGUUACAGGCAAAAUAAAAAAGUCAGCUCAUCAAAGCUUUCGCUUAAUUAUACAUUAAAACUAAUGAACGAAACCUAACAAGCAAAAGCUGAGUGAAAAAUGAAAUCAAAAGCAUAAAAUUAUUUCUAUAAAGUAAAAAGACAAUAAAAUUCCCACCUCCGUCCCAGGGAGUAUCAUCGGGCCUGCAAAACACCACGAAAAAGGAAAAAAAAAUCAAAACAAAAACCAAAAGAAGUACAAAAAAGAAGAAAAGGAAGAAAAGAAAGUGUACCCAAAAAUAACGGCGUUCCACAACAUGAUGUUGUUGUCUUGAGGGGCACCGCUGAUGCCGGCGGGUGGAUCUUGCUGGAGGCGCUUGAAGUCCCGCAUCAGCCGCUUCUUCGCCGGUGUUGACAUGGCGACGUCGUGUUCUACAGAGAGAGAACGAGAGAGGAAAGUUCUAGAGAAAAGAGGGAUCUGAGCAAAAAUCUAAUCUAAAGAAGACUUUGUUGCUGCAUACGAGUUGCCAUGACAUAGCAAUAGGCCCAGGCAAUAGGCAUAACCUGUGCAACACCGCCAGCUAGUUUUGGUUUGUGAAUUGUGAUUGUGAUUUGUGAGUCCCACGCACACACUCUAGUCACAGCCGCCUUCUACUUUUUAUUUAUUACGCGUCGUGGGAUCUGAGCUGUUCAAACUUCAAAUUGUUUUAUGUCAUUUACCGCAAGGGCCACGUAAUUUUGUUAUGUAUUUCGAAAGAAAUUAACCGCCGCCACCACCACCAAAUUACUUUAUUUUUUAAGAAUCAUCCAUUUUACCAGUAAUUGUUUGUAAUGCUGAAAUAUCUUGCAUGGGAGUGGAGAGGAUAAAGUAUCUGAAACUCUUCAAUUUAAUUUAAUCCGAAUUGGGGUUCGCAUCCAGUUCGGAAACUUUUCUCACCCUUCACUGGCCCCAACGUUCAGAUUCUUAUGCUACUAAAUUUUAAUUCUAUAAUAUUAUCCCUCUCCUCUCGACGACCCAUAAAUAAAUACACACCUUAUUUUGAAAAUUUCUUUCCCAUAUUAACCCUCGAAUAAAUGCAGAAUUUUCUGGUCUUUCAUUUUGGCUUGACAUCAUCUAUAAUGGUCUGAUGGGGGCAGUUACAGUACAUGCAUGUAUCUCAUACAUGCAUGCAUAAAAAAUUAUCGUUAGAUUAAAUGGAGUAGAUCCAAUGGUUGAGAUUCAUCUUAGUGUUAAAUAAUAAAAAAAUUUACAAGAAAUGAAAACAUGUAAAACUGGCAACUUGAAACUUUGAACUAAUAAAUAUGAAACAACUACCAUUAAUAUUGAUAUUAUAACCAUUAAACUUGAAACCAAAAUAACUUGAAACUUUAGACAACGAAUAUGAAACUUGUGAUCAUAAACUUGCAAUCUCAAGAAUCAUACAAAUCAUGUACCAAUAAUAUAUGAAACAACUACGAUUAAUCUUGAUAUUAUGACCAUUAAACUUAAAAAUAAAGUAACUUGAAACAUAGGGUAAUGAACAUAAAACUUGAGAUCCUAAAAAUCAUACACAUCAUGAACCAAUAAAUAUAAAACAACUACCAUUAAUAUUGAUAUUAGGAUCAUUAAACUUGAAACUAAAGUAACUUGAAGCUGAGAGCAAUGAACAUGAAAUUUGGGAUCAUUAACUUACAACCCUGAAAAUCAUGCAAUUAAUAGACCAAUAAACAUGAAACACCUACCGUUAACUUGAUAUUGUGACCAUUAAACUUGAAACCACAAAGAAUUUGAAACUGAGGGCAAUACACAUGAAACUCAAGAUCAUAAACUUGCAACCCUGAAAAUCAUGUAAUUAAUGAGUCAAUAAACAUGAAACACUAUUAUUAACUUGAUAUUAGAACCAUUAAAUUUGAAACUAAAAAAACUUGAAACUGAGGGUAAUGAACAUUAAAUUAGGGAUCAUUAACUUGCAACACUGACAAUUAUACAAUUAAAUAGACCAAUAAAUAUGAAACAUCUAUUGUUAACUUGUUAUGGGAACCAUUAAACUUGAAAUCGAGGGUAAUAAAUAUAAAAUUUGAGAUCAUUAACAACCCUAAGAAUCAUAUAAUUAAUGAAUUAAUAAAUACAAAACACCUACCGUUAACAUGAUACCGAUAUUAUUAAACUUAAAACUAUUUUUUUAUUGUUAUCUGACCUAUAUUAGUAAAAUAAGUAUUAUUUUAUUUCAUAAUUUUUUAAUCGUUUAAGGAGCUCCAAGUUCUUUUUCUUUUUUUCCAACUGUUUGGCUGCCAAGUGGCAAUGUUUUUUAAUUUUUUUAUUCCUUGCAUGUAUGUAUGCAUGUAUUAAUUUAUUAUAGCACAGGCCUGAUUGCAAGCAAAAACACUUUAGGGUCCUACGCUCAUCCUGUUCGCUCAUAGCCUAGCAACAACCGAUUCGCGCCUCAAAACAUUUUCUAUCACUCUUCUCUUGCCCCGCCUACGUAAAUUUGGUGACAAUCAUCACCACAAGGUUAACAGUUGAAGAGGAGAGACAAAAAGCUAGCUGCCUAACUGCCAAUGCCUGUUAAGUUACGUCCUGCAUCCCAUCAAGUAUGGUCCUGUAGCCACCUCCUAACUUAAUUGCCUCCCUUCAUCCCUAUUUCAGAGAAUAUAAUUACAAGGUUUCACCUCCAGCAAUGCGGACAUUGUCAAGCUCAAGCAUAUUGAAAAACAUAGAUAAAAAAGAGGGAGGUUAUAAUACAUUCCAACAGUAAUGGAGAAAAAAGGGCUUCAACAGAAUAAGCAAUCACCAUAAAAAUACAAUGCAAGAUGGCCGUUCACAACAUCCAAAAAUCCGACUAAAUAAUUCCAAUGAAAAAGAGCUCCUCUGAGGUUGUCUUAAGACAUACAUCACUGAUUCACUGCAGCAAUAAUACCCCUAUACAAAUGCUACAGAUAAAUUACAGUUACAUGAAAGAUGUUGAAAAGAAGAAGAUGGAAAUGUUGAGAAAUUAACAAGAGGUUCAACCAGAGCUAUCUGGGAGGAAGAAUCUGAAGAGAUUCUCUAAUAACAAUGCACCUGAAAUCAGAUUGAUUACGGAGUACACGACUAUUGAACAAACCAGCCACACCAGCCCCAGUUUUCAUCUUUUAUUUCUACAGCAUAACCGGCCGGUGCUUUCAUUGGACUUUUAGUCGGCUGUCCAGCUUUGCUCCACUAUUUCACGCACUCUUCGGUUGUACUCUCGUUUAUUCUCACUAAACAGCCGAGCUGCUUCAGAAUUUGCAGGGGAGUUUGGAUUUGGAUCACAAAGCAGCGACUGGUAAAGACAUAUAAGUAGUGUCAUGUUAGAAUCAUAAAUACAACCACUGCGAAUCUCACAAGCUCAUUUGCUUCAAGAUCAACCAUCAUUUGUACUAAAUAUCAUUUGAAAACCAAGUUGGCAAGUGCAUACAUAACAUAUUUGAAAGCAAUUGACUAACCAAUUACACCAAAAAAAAUAAAGUUUUGAAAUAAUGGGGAAGAUAAUACAGGGGGCCAACAUAUGGUGACAGAAUCAAUGAAACCUGGUACUAAGGAACAUUUCAAUUUAAUGAAAACAUGUGUACUAACUAACAUCGACAUAGCAAAACAGGAUAAAAUAUCCUGAAAACCAAACAAUGCAAUCCUUGUCAUCACAAGGCAAAUAUGGAAAUGUUCCAAUGCAUUUUAGUAAGUAUUAGAUAUGGUACGUACAACAACACUUUUUUGAAAAUUGGAUAUUGAUGAUCGUCUCAAACAUGGAAGAUUCACUUUUUAACUUUGUUUAAUAUAACAAAAAAAUAUACAUAAUGAUGCAAAAAGGCCUUCACGGUACAGAAAUGUAAGCCGACAGAUGCUUUCGGACGUCAUGAGCACUAAGAUCUUAUUAGGUUCAGAUACUCUUAGAUAUAUUUAGCCAAUAAUAUCAUAUGUUUGACUUAGUUGAGUAUACCAUUCAAACUAUCUCCUCAUUUCCUUAAAAUGGGAGGAAUUACAUAUACACGAAACAAAAGGACAAAACAAGUUACCAGUCAUAUCAUUAGUAUCUUCUUUCUUUGAUGCAAAAGCACAAUUUUCUUGCAAGUUCUCGAUAAUCAGGCAUUAAUUAUAAGAAAUUAAGCACAGUGAAAACAUCCAAUUUCAAUCAAUGAUAAACAAGAAACAGAAUCUCUUUCCAAUAGACAGGAAUGAACAAGAAAAGUCAAAACGAAGUUUCACCUGGAUGGAGGUCAGUAUAGCUGCAACAUCAUAUAUAGGACUCCACUGAUUUUGUAAUAUAUCCAGGCAGAUACUUCCAUCCGCAUAGACUGAUCAAACCAUAGGUAAAGAGUCAGAAAUCAAAAUCAAUCGUUAUCAAGACCAUGAGCCAUAGAAUCCCUAUAGCACAAUAAUCAGCAAAAUUCAAAGAAAGAAUAAUAGCAAGAAACUUAUCAUCAAUAAAACAUUAGCAACAAAAUUUAAAAAUAAGAUAAUGACGUACUAUUUGGAUGAAACAUCCGUGAAACGAACCGAACUGUUGGAGGUUUAUUCGGAUAAUCCUCUGUAAACUGAAGAGUCAACUUGAACGUACCUAGAAAAGUUCAAGAAAUAGCUAAAACAACACUUGCAAAAACCUAUAACUUUCAAGAAAAAGAGACGCUAUAACGAAAUAUGAUAAGUCAUAGGCAAUCAUGUUACUUAAUGGUGGUUCAGGUUUAGUGGGAGUCUUUAUUUUAAGCCUACAAUGUAAAUCAAAGCAAGUAUACCAUAACAUACAACCUAACAUAUAAUUAAUUACAGAAGCAGAUUGUCCACGAUUAGGUAACAAAAAUUCAACAAAAAUAAGCUACAAUCAAAUAUUAGGCAAAACCAAUAAUUCAGCUUAACAAAAGUUUUACAUUUUUACAGCUGAAUGAAAGUAAAAUUAAAAGCAUAAAUAUUUUGUAAAAAUCAAAGAUAAUCAAAUACCCACCUCCGUCCCAGGGAGUAUCAUCAGGCCUACGAAACAUCACCAAAUGAAAAACAAACAAGAAAAUCAAAACAUAAACCAGAAAAGUUACAAGACAAAAACAAAGGUUAAUUAAAACAAAUACCCAAAAAUAACGGCGUUCCAUAACAUGAUGUUGUUGUCUUGAGGGGCCCCGCUGAUUCCGGCGGGUGGAUCUUGCUGGAGGCGCUUGAAGUCCCGCAUCAGCCGCUUCUUCGCCGGUGUUGACAUAGUGGCGUUUUAGAGAGCAAAACUGAGAAGCGGCUUUUGCAGAGGGGGGGAGGGGGGAGAAUGAGAGAAGAAGCUUCUAGAGAAAGAAGAGAUCUGGGCAAAACCUUGUGAGGAUGCUGCAUGCGAGUUAACAUGACAAUAAUGGGCCGGGGCCGGGGUUGGCUGAGCAGUGAGCACCAAUUUUUCUUUUUUUAAUUUUAAUGUUUAACGAUAAAGUUACAAAUUUUUCCACGCAUUUUUAUUUUAUUUUAUAUUGAUAUUAAUUCAAUUCGUUUUAGUCAGUGGGCUGAGGAAAAAUAUACAUAUGGUCCCCACGCCACACACAAGUAGGACACCUAUGUAUUUAUCGAAAUUGACCUUGGCCAAAACUCCUUUCCAAAAUCGUCUUGCAUCCUUCACAUGUUCUCUCAUUGGAAAGCAUGUAGUGCAGCAAUAUGUCAAACACCAGUACACCACCCGCAAAAUUCUACAGAGAGUAUGAGUAUAUUGAGGAAUUUGAUAUUAUGGAUGCAUUUUUGUCCAUAUUUGCAAAUUCCUCAUUUUCUCAAAUGCUUAGCUCAGCACUCCUGUCAUUUAAUGAAAACCAUCAGGGACGAUAAUGAUAUUCGCAAACCCGUAAAUCCAUUCACACCAGUCCGUUGCGGGUUGUGAGCGGGUUUGAUAUUAGGAAUUGAAAUUCGCACUAUGUUGUAGGUGGAUUUAGUAUUAGGUACAUAUCCGAUGGAUACUCACAUGAAUAUCUGCCAAAUCUAUAAUUUUUUUAAUACAAUUUUAAUUAAAAAAAUAAUUAAAUCUAAAAGUAUAUAAAUAAAAUAAAUAUAGAGUGCAAACAUGUCAUGUGUGGUGUGUGCAAGUUGCAACUCAUAACCUAACCUAAAGGAAACCUAACUUAAAGGAAACCCAAACUAUUUCUUUUUCAUCUGUGAGCAGCAGUCGCAAAAUCUAACCUUCUAAACUAUUUCUCUUUCACCCAUGGGCAGUAGCCGCACACCCAUUUUCCUUUCACCCGUGAGCCGCAGCCGCACACCCAUGAAAUUUUCAUGGCAUUUGUGGUUAUUUUUUAUGGAUUUAUAUAUUUCAUACUUAAAAUCGAGAAUUUGUAUAGAAUUGAUGUUGAAAUUUUAAUUUUAUAUUUACAUUGAUUAAAUUUAAAAUUCAGUAUAUUAUGUGGAAUUUUAGCUUAAUAAUAUAAAUUUACAUAUUGAUUUUUAUUAAUAUAACCUUUCGACAGUCAAAUCAGUCACCAGACUUUUGGAAAUAUAAAUUUAGAAGGAGAAAGAUUAGAGAGAGAAAGUUAGACUUUUUACUUUUUGAGUCUAUUUUUUUUCUUACAUUUUAGUGAGAAUGAAAGACAUAUUUGUCGACCAAACGGAUUUGACUUAAGUCUUAGCUAUUUUGAUGACAAAUGUCAUUGCUCUUGUGACAUUUGACAACACUUAUUUUUUAGUACGCAUGUUGAUUGACAUAUGGAUAUACAAACUUAUCUAUAGAUUAAAGGAAAAAAACGUUUUAUCUUUAGGUUAUUUUUACUAAGACCUUGAGAUUAUAGGAGCCUUUAAAUUUAAGAGGUUUGUCCUACGAUAAGAGCCUAGAACCUCAACAUCUUUUGGGCUUUGAAGUCUUAUUACUUAGGAGAAUCAUUCUAGGUGAUUUGUCCACCACUUCGUGGGCUUAAUUGAGAGAAAAUUUAUUAAAUGGGCCUUAUUGAGAUUAAAUUUCUUUGGGCUUUAUUAAAUCUAUUUUAUUUUUGAUCCAACACCAACUUGGAUUUAAGAUUCAACACUGCCUCCUUUAGUUGGAAAGAGUUCAACUUCCCUUCUUAGUUUGUAUAAAAUGUAAAUUUCUUCAUAAUUUAUUAUAUCUAAAUUCUUCACCUUUUGGGGUCAAUUUAGCUACGCUAAUCAGAGUUGACCCCGAUAAAUUUGUAAUCUUUUUUGUUUCAUUGUAUGUUGUUGUGUGUUUAGUCCUCUAUCUAAUACAUCCGUAUCACAAUUGCUUGUACGCUAAUUUCCUACUGUGUAAUUUUUUUAUGUUAUUUCGUUAAUUUCCUCCAACAUGACUCGGGGACAGGCUGCUGCGAGUGGGACUGUGAGGUCUUGCAAUCCAAUUAAUUGGGCAUAGUGAUGGACCAGGACUGUAUAUAAAAGAACUGCUUAAAGAUCGUACAAUCUAGCAUCGGCAAGGCCAGUGCUUUCUAUGUAUUUGAUUACUAUGACUCCAUAAAAAGUAUAUAACAUGUACUGUAAAAUCACUUAAACUGUUAAUUAUUAAGAGAAAACUAAAGAAAAAUCAAGAAACCCUGAACAUAAAACGGAAGUUAAUUUGUUCUCCUGUGAUUGUGAAGUAUCUGAUGAUGAUCAUUAGUAAACAUGAUUGGAAUCUGACUCUCUUCUUCAUCAUCUUCGUCGUCGUGGGCAGGCCUUGAAAGUUCAUGAAGAGGCUCCAUGCUGUGGCAAGAUAGCACUGUCUCAGCUGCAAAGUCGAAGUUGGAAGUAAGGUUGCUCAUGUUGAUGAAGUUUGUGGAGGCCGAGGAGCUGUUUGAGUAAGCAGGCUGCUGUUGCUGUUGAUGCAGUAAUGCAACAUGUUGCGGCUGUUGCGGUUGCUGUGAUGUUUGGAGAGCGUUUGCCAUCGCAAACCUGCUGUUUAAAAGUUGAUUUUGCACCAUUGUUAGCUCUGCUUGCAGGGAGGCCACCUGCAAUUUAAUAUUUAUAAUAUCAAUUGCUUUUCUUAUUGCAGUUUUUGGUUCAAUGGGGGCUAGAAGAAUAAAUUACAGACUUUAAAGGGCUAAAAUAAAAUAAAAGAAAAUCUGUAAUGCUAAAAUGUAAAAUGUUCAAAGUAAUUGAUCAAAUUUCAAUUAACGCCCUUAUUUUUACCAGAAUUUUGUCACCUUUUAUGUGACAUUUCUCAUGAAGCGGUACGCGCAAGAAUUGGUAGUUAAUCUACUCUUAUAUAAAUAAAAUAAUAGUAAUAAUUAAUUAAUUUUUGUAACUGAAACGAGCAUUUGGCUUAGAAACAAAAUUAAUUACUAUCGGCAAAUUAAAACCUGUUGCUGCAGAGCAAGAAUGGUGGAAACACAACCGUAAACCGGGUCGGAGAGGCGGGCCUGGGCCUCGUAAGAUAUAGUAACCACAGCAUCUUGCCGCCGGUUCACCGGAAUGUGUAGCAAGAGCUUGGAUACAUUGCUAGCACCAAAGACUUUGUGCACGGCAGCGAACCGGGCGGCUCCCUGGUCUGAGCCAAAGUGGGGUGCAAAGAUGCACCCACUAACGCACUUUCUCCUCAAGAACUUGCAUGCCCCACAUGGAGCUGCUGGUGCAGGUGCUGACAUGGGCUCGGCCUCUGGCGAGGGCGCGGUGGUGGCACGUUUUCCAGCGCCCCUUCGACGGGGUUCGGAUAUGGGGUCGGGCUGUUGCUCAGCCAUUUUCUGGGGUGGGUUAGGCUCAGAGUUUGUUCAAAACGGAAAGGUGGUGGAGUUGUUACUUAUAUGUGAGAAAUUAUGACGCUGGGCACGUUAGUUUCGUGAUGGGUAGCAUGGUGAAUGUGGUAAGCUUCUUUAUCUUUUUCGUUUUUGUUUUAAAAAAAAAGAAUAUGUAUGACCAUUGCAACCCAUUUUUGUAAAUUCCAUAUAAAUGUGGAUAUACACACACACACGAAUAAUGUAAUGACCAAUAUUGCUAAUGUUAUAAUCUAUAACAUCAUCGUGUGAUGUUAAGUUGAUAAAUACUUUGUGUGAUGGUGUCAUGUAUGUUGAUAAUGCUCUAUAAGGUGAGCAAUCGUAUCAUGCCAGUGUAAUUAAAUUGAGGUAUAGGCUAAUACUAUCAUACCAUCGAUAUUUAACAGUAAUUUUGUAUGGUAUAAACUACAUAAAUGGCUAUUUAUGAAUAAAUCAAAGAACUUAUAUAUCUUCGUAUUGACGAGAUUAAAUCUUUGUGCUAUUGUCCAUGAUAUAUAUUAAUUAAUUAUAGUUUGUUUUUAUAUAUAUUUUUUUUCCUCUACAAAACGUGUAUCUAGCUAAUUAUCUUUAAAAUGUAAUUAUGAUAUCAGAAACAAGAGAGGGACAUUAUGGUUGGUGAGGGAGGGAGAGAUGGAAAUGGGAAGAGCCUGAGAGUGUGAUGGGCACGGGCAAAGGAGGUGUCGGUGGGUGGGUUAUGGGUUUAAUUAAUUAAUUAAUUACAGGUUUAAGAUGAGAAAAUUUGAAAAAUAAAAUAAUGAUGUUAAUAUUUAAGGUUAUUAGUUUGGAACAUGAAUCAUGAUACAUGAAGAAGGCUGGGUUGUCUUGAUGAGAAGGCACAAUAUUUGUGCUGCCCGUGGCGUGUGGGAUGCUUCACCUCCAACUCCAAGCUUGCUAAUGCUAACAGUAACAGAAGUUCCAGACACUUCCAGUAAUGCAUUUUGCACUCACCCUUUUUAACUUUCACUCCUCCUCGACAUCCCUACGCAACUUCACUACACAUCAUUUUUAAUUUGCAACAUUGCAUUCCAAAAUUGGGUCUCAAAGAUUAAGAAAAAUAUAUACUGGUCCAAGAAGACACAAGAUAAUUCUUCUCGUUAAACAUAUAGAGUAGGGUGAACUUGGGGUAAAUCUUGCAAUAGAUAGAUUCAAGUAUUCUCUGAAGGCAAGAUUCCAAAACAAGAAGUGCUGCCACAGUAACAUGGUAGGCCCUUUGGCCUGGCCCUAAUUUCCCCGUAGCUAAAAGCAAGCUCUUCACCUUCUUUUAUGUCUUUUGAAGCCAAGAAGCAGAGGCGAGGAAGUAUAGAUCCUGAGCUUCUCACCAGUGUUGUUGACAGGUCACCACCAUCGCAAGAAUGAUUAAUAAAUCGGGCAAUGUUUCCAAUUAUUGUGGCAUCAAUGUUCAUCCUCAAACAAGCCUUUCCAGAUGGAAGGUGCUCCCUUAUGACCAAAAGAGCAGAGGAAUUUCCGGGACUCGAUGCAAGUCCAUCAUAGAUUUGUUGCCGCCGCCUUGCUUCUUUUGUGGUCAAAAGUUCACCUAUUCAAGCAAACAUCAACUAAGACAAUUUCUAACAAAUGUCCACAGAAACAAACAAUAAUUAUUUCUUAAAUAUCCAAGUAAAUGAAAAUGUUUUACACACUAGACCAAUUCAAAGCAAUCAGUUAUUACCAUAAUGUUUCAUAAACCCCGUGAUGUGGGAAGAAUGGAAAGAAAGAUCAAAAACAUCACCCAAAGUGCCCAACAAUGGCUAGUUGAAUGGAGAAAAUACAAUAGAGAGUCAAAGCUAUAACUCAGGAAAAGUAAGCAGCUAUAUAAUGGUAGUCAUAAGAACUGGAAGAUAUGGCUAACGGCAAGCUAAACAGCCCUAUGGUAGAUGCAAAACAUAGUGGUUAUAGACUCUAUUCUACCACGUAGCAGAUGUAAAAUAUAAGCUGUAUUAGACGAACAAAAUUUGCCUACCAAUUAGGCAAAAUUAAUCCAAAUAAUAAGGGAUAAAAACUAUAAGAUUUGAAACAUGGGAUUCGAUAAUACUGCCAUUGAACUAGAAUUGUACGAACUGAAGGUGGUCUUCUUCUUGGUCAAAAUAAAUAAACAAAUGUAAUUCCUUCAUCCGCACAAUCCCAUUCUAAAACUAUGAACUUAUGAUUCCAUACUACCGUAACACAGCAGAAAUAUAAUUCCAACAACGGCACGCGCUAAAUCUAAUAAUAAGUCUUACUGUAUCAAAUAAUCAUCAAGCAGAUGCAACUAGGCAUAUGUAUAAUUAAAAUCACAAGCAUCAAAAACUCUAAACAAAUAUUACAAAAAUGCCAACAUACAUUUCCAUUUUGCCGAUACCUGCGUACUCACAGAUGAAUUGCCCUUGCUUUAUGAAUUGAUCGGCAUAUAAACCCCACCCUUUAUUCACACUCCUCACAAUCUUCAAUCUCACCGAUAUUCCUCUCUGAGUCAACCGAUUCCCGCACUCAGACCCGCACCC
This 74310-nucleotide long non-coding RNA is filed under the name Citrus sinensis (sweet orange). RNAcentral's name for it is "long non-coding RNA (CSIN_LNC002323)". The record is from RNAcentral. Lineage: Eukaryota; Viridiplantae; Streptophyta; Magnoliopsida; Sapindales; Rutaceae.